UCAUGGUGAAGCUAGAAGGUGAGGAUGGAAGCAAGAUGGAUGCUGCAGCAGCUUGUCACUUGGACACCUCUGACUGGGACCCGACCAUGUUUCUUUCAAGGUGCUCGGCAUCAAGCCAGGCACUGAACCUGUUUGCCAUUUCCUUCCAGAGACUCACUUGGCUUUCAUUUCGACUUCUCUCGGAGCAGCCAUGUGAUCAUGAUCCUGAACCAUGUUGGAUAAUCUGCAUGCCAUUGUGUUUACGUGUAAUUGUGUUUUGUGUGUUAGUAACGAACGCAUUCUGUAGUUUUAAAUAAGGUGAUUUUCAACCAUGUACGUCCUCUAAUCAUGUGGUGCUUUUAUCAGCAGUGUUAUUGUAGUAAACCAGUCUAUGUUUUUGUAAUGUUGUUUCAACCAUGUCCCUCCUCUUAUCAUGUGGUGCUUUUAUUAGCAGUGUCAUUGUAGUUAACCAAUCUAUGUUUUUGUAAUGUUGUUUUUUUUGCGAUAAAGCAUUUCUUAAAACCUAUAAUACCGUGCACGUUAAAAAAAAAGACAAAAAGAAGAAAAAGAGGAUUUGAAAUCAUUAAAACUAGGAAUUGUAUACAAUAAGAUCAUUUAAUUUUGAUAAAAGGCGGUCACAAUUACUUACAACCAUAUGAUGUGAAAUUUGAUAGCUUGGAUAUGCUACAAAGUUCAAAAAAAUUUCUUUUGAAACUUGAGCUUGUUCAAAGGAAUAAAUGCAGCCACCCAAUUUCACAUCCAAUGGUCAAAAUUGAUUGUGACCACCUUGUACCAUAGGUAAAUGGUCUCAUUCUAUACUUUUCCUAAAAACAAUGUAUCUUGUAACUAUUAUUUGGAACAUCCAUUUUUUAAAAUUUUAAGUGUUUAUAGAUUUGGUCCAUCUACAUCAUUUUUUAAGUUGUAAAAAUUCACAAUUAUGGGUGUAUACAUAUUAUCAAUAUUAACGCAAGACUUUCUAGCACAUUGCUGAGUGUGCUUGAUAUUUAUUGUUAAGGUGGGUACCAUAUGCAAACCACCCAAAAUAAAGUAAGGAAACGUAUACAAUAAGACUAUUUACUUUUGAUACAAGGAGGUCACAAAUAUCACUGAUCGCUAGAUUUGAAAUUGAGUCGUUGUAGAUGUGCAAUUAUUUGAGCACAAGGUCCAAAAUAAAAUUUUUUAAAUGUUGUGACACAUUUUCAUCAUUUGGAUUUCACAUCCAAUUACUAAACGUGAUUAUGACCUCCUCGUACAAAAAUAAUCUCGUAGUAUAUCAUCAUCAUCAUCGUCAAUGCUUUUUUCCAUCUAAUUGGGGCUGGCUACACAAAACUUGGUUUGCCAGUAUGCUCUAUUAAGGGUCAUACCCUCAAUGAGAUUAUAAGUCCCCAUAUCUUUUUUCAUGGUAUAUAAUCCCAAAAAAUAAUUAUGUACCAAUGAUGGUCAAAUAUCAGCAAUAUUUUCAAGUAUAACGACAACUACAUAUUGAUGCAAAGGUAAAUUUACUGCCAAGCAAAGAUUGAAUAAUAAAGGCCUAUUCAUUUUUUAAGUUAGUUCAUUUGCUCAUAUUUAUGAAUCCCCAUUUUUUAACCUAACUUACAAUCAAAUCCAAUGCAACGACCGAAGUUAGAUGGGACCAAAGGAGUGCAAUAACAUGAAGAAAUAUGAAUCAAUAUUGUUAGAUUCGCUUCAAAGUCAUACCCUCGGUGAGGCUAUAACUCCUCAUAUCUCUUUUCAUGGUAUAUAAUCUCAAAAAAUAAUAUCGCCUUAUAUGUUAUGUACCAAUGAUGGUCAAAUAUCAGCAAUAUUUUCAAGUAUAACGACAGCUACAUAUCGAUGCAAAGGCCAAUUUACUGGCUAGCAAAUAUUGAAUAAUAAAGGCCUCUUCAUUUAUGAAGUUUGUUCAUUUGCUGAUACAUGAAUCCCCAUUUUUUAACAAGUUACAAUCCAAUCCAACGCAACUGUCAAAGUUAGUUGGAACCAAUGGAGUGUAUGAAUCAAUGUUGUUAGAUUCGCUUUAGAGUCUUUUUUGGUUUGACGAGAAAAAUGAAGCAAUUCGGUAUUUUGGCUGAUUCAAAGGAAGACUUUAGAAUUUUUUUAAUUUAAUAUAAAUAGAUUAGAUAUUUAUACAAAAUAUAUAAAACCAGCGUUUUAAAAAUCGCUGAGUCGAACCGGACUCGCCCGGUUCGACUCGGAAUUCAUGAAAAUGGACCGGAUCGGUUUAAAAAUCGAGAGAACCGGACGAUUCCGCACAGUGACUCGCCGAUUCACUGUGCGGAAUCGGCGAGUCCGUGAAGAACACGGGUUGCACAGUGUUCUUCACGGAUUCUUUCAAAUUUGUCAUUUUUUUAUCAUUUUUUUUGUUUUUUUUGGCAUGUGAUCUGAUUUGCAGGCUGUAAACAGCUUUAUUCAGCUUUUUNNNNNNNNNNNNNNNNNNNNNNNNNNNNNNNNNNNNNNNNNNNNNNNNNNNNNNNNNNNNNNNNNNNNNNNNNNNNNNNNNNNNNNNNNNNNNNNNNNNNNNNNNNNNNNNNNNNNNNNNNNNNNNNNNNNNNNNNNNNNNNNNNNNNNNNNNNNNNNNNNNNNNNNNNNNNNNNNNNNNNNNNNNNNNNNNNNNNNNNNNNNNNNNNNNNNNNNNNNNNNNNNNNNNNNNNNNNNNNNNNNNNNNNNNNNNNNNNNNNNNNNNNNNNNNNNNNNNNNNNNNNNNNNNNNNNNNNNNNNNNNNNNNNNNNNNNNNNNNNNNNNNNNNNNNNNNNNNNNNNNNNNNNNNNNNNNNNNNNNNNNNNNNNNNNNNNNNNNNNNNNNNNNNNNNNNNNNNNNNNNNNNNNNNNNNNNNNNNNNNNNNNNNNNNNNNNNNNNNNNNNNNNNNNNNNNNNNNNNNNNNNNNNNNNNNNNNNNNNNNNNNNNNNNNNNNNNNNNNNNNNNNNNNNNNNNNNNNNNNNNNNNNNNNNNNNNNNNNNNNNNNNNNNNNNNNNNNNNNNNNNNNNNNNNNNNNNNNNNNNNNNNNNNNNNNNNNNNNNNNNNNNNNNNNNNNNNNNNNNNNNNNNNNNNNNNNNNNNNNNNNNNNNNNNNNNNNNNNNNNNNNNNNNNNNNNNNNNNNNNNNNNNNNNNNNNNNNNNNNNNNNNNNNNNNNNNNNNNNNNNNNNNNNNNNNNNNNNNNNNNNNNNNNNNNNNNNNNNNNNNNNNNNNNNNNNNNNNNNNNNNNNNNNNNNNNNNNNNNNNNNNNNNNNNNNNNNNNNNNNNNNNNNNNNNNNNNNNNNNNNNNNNNNNNNNNNNNNNNNNNNNNNNNNNNNNNNNNNNNNNNNNNNNNNNNNNNNNNNNNNNNNNNNNNNNNNNNNNNNNNNNNNNNNNNNNNNNNNNNNNNNNNNNNNNNNNNNNNNNNNNNNNNNNNNNNNNNNNNNNNNNNNNNNNNNNNNNNNNNNNNNNNNNNNNNNNNNNNNNNNNNNNNNNNNNNNNNNNNNNNNNNNNNNNNNNNNNNNNNNNNNNNNNNNNNNNNNNNNNNNNNNNNNNNNNNNNNNNNNNNNNNNNNNNNNNNNNNNNNNNNNNNNNNNNNNNNNNNNNNNNNNNNNNNNNNNNNNNNNNNNNNNNNNNNNNNNNNNNNNNNNNNNNNNNNNNNNNNNNNNNNNNNNNNNNNNNNNNNNNNNNNNNNNNNNNNNNNNNNNNNNNNNNNNNNNNNNNNNNNNNNNNNNNNNNNNNNNNNNNNNNNNNNNNNNNNNNNNNNNNNNNNNNNNNNNNNNNNNNNNNNNNNNNNNNNNNNNNNNNNNNNNNNNNNNNNNNNNNNNNNNNNNNNNNNNNNNNNNNNNNNNNNNNNNNNNNNNNNNNNNNNNNNNNNNNNNNNNNNNNNNNNNNNNNNNNNNNNNNNNNNNNNNNNNNNNNNNNNNNNNNNNNNNNNNNNNNNNNNNNNNNNNNNNNNNNNNNNNNNNNNNNNNNNNNNNNNNNNNNNNNNNNNNNNNNNNNNNNNNNNNNNNNNNNNNNNNNNNNNNNNNNNNNNNNNNNNNNNNNNNNNNNNNNNNNNNNNNNNNNNNNNNNNNNNNNNNNNNNNNNNNNNNNNNNNNNNNNNNNNNNNNNNNNNNNNNNNNNNNNNNNNNNNNNNNNNNNNNNNNNNNNNNNNNNNNNNNNNNNNNNNNNNNNNNNNNNNNNNNNNNNNNNNNNNNNNNNNNNNNNNNNNNNNNNNNNNNNNNNNNNNNNNNNNNNNNNNNNNNNNNNNNNNNNNNNNNNNNNNNNNNNNNNNNNNNNNNNNNNNNNNNNNNNNNNNNNNNNNNNNNNNNNNNNNNNNNNNNNNNNNNNNNNNNNNNNNNNNNNNNNNNNNNNNNNNNNNNNNNNNNNNNNNNNNNNNNNNNNNNNNNNNNNNNNNNNNNNNNNNNNNNNNNNNNNNNNNNNNNNNNNNNNNNNNNNNNNNNNNNNNNNNNNNNNNNNNNNNNNNNNNNNNNNNNNNNNNNNNNNNNNNNNNNNNNNNNNNNNNNNNNNNNNNNNNNNNNNNNNNNNNNNNNNNNNNNNNNNNNNGCUUUAUUCUGUCCGAUUCACCCGAUUCCGAUCCGGAUCCGGGUCACCGAUCCGGGUCACCGAUCCGGUUUUUAAACCAUUGUAUAAAACUAAUGAAAAAUAUUAAAAAUACGUUUUAAAAUAAACAAAACAUACUUUUAUAUAGAUAUUUCUUUGCUUCAACAGAAUAAGCCAAGUCAUCUCGAAGUAGACCCGAAUUUGACUGAAGCAGCCCAAAUCUAAUCGAAGCGGCAACAUCUGGCUUCGCUUCCGGUAGGUCUAGGCCUAAAAUCCAAAGGCUUCGGCCUUUUCAGUCGAAACGAAGCGAAUUUCACAACACUGAUAUGAAUUUGUGUGUGAGAGAGAGUAUACUACUAGUCAAAAGCACAAAAUACAUGAGAGAGAGAGUAACCUUAUGAAAGAGAGAGUACUAAAAAACAAAAACAGUACUAACAAUAAAACAUGGAGAGAGAGAGACGUACCCACGCCAAAAGUAAGAGAUUCACAAAUCCAAUAAAAACUUCCAUUACUAAUUUAGAAUAUAAAUAUGGUUAUGUGGGAGUUGUGGAUAAAAUUCAGCUAUUUAUAAUUAAAAAUAUAGCAGCAAUUUAUUGUUGCCCGUAAAUGCAAAAAGCCUUUUUUACAAGUGGAUAGAAACAUAUUUAUUUUUCUGUUAUCCCACUCAAAAUGUCAAAUCUUUUAUUUAUUUAACCAAUAUUCAAUUAAUACUAUUUUUUAGCUUACCAAUAAAUUGUCAUUAGAUGUUUUACUAUUCAUAAAAUACAUUCUUUCAUGAGAAGUGCCCAUGUAUCUUAUAUUUCCUGUACAAAGACAACUCUAUAGGAUAAAUGCAUAAUCAAUCUUAACUGAAUGUCAAAACCUUCUAUAAGUGAAUGCCAAAACUUUCUAGAAAAAAAAAAUGAUGAAGUAAUAUUUUGAUAGUUCGAUAUUGAUAUUUAUGAGCUGGAACUUUCAUCUAGUUUUGGAUCUCCUUCUUUUGAUAUUUUUUGACUGAUUUAGAUCAAGCUGAUAUAAAAACACAUGUUAUGCAACCUUUUUUUUGCUGAUUACUCACAAUUGUGUUUCCAUGCUCAUGUUUGUGAUAUAAUUCACUGAUGAGAUUCCUUCUCAUAUUCCUGAAAUUUUAUGCAGUAAUGAAUGGCAUAGCUAGUGAGUUUAUGGUUGGUUUCUCGCCUAGUGAAUGGCAUGCCUAAUGAAUGGGUUUUAAGAAAUAUGAAAUAAAAAGAGAAAAAUGAAAAACAAUGUGCCUUGAAUGGUAUGUUUGUUCUCUAGCAUGCAAUGUAGUAUGGAGUAUUACAAGUGAAUAGGGUGGAAUGAUAAUAGUCUUUCUGUAAAAUUGCUAGCCCUAAUACAUGGCAGCAUGUUUGCGGUGAUUCUUUUCUCAGCUCCUAAUAAAAAAAAAUUUGUUUGAAAGUCAGGUUGAGCACCUCUCAAUAAAAAAUUUGUUUCUCUCAAUCCUCAAAGAAUUUUUUCUUGAAAUCUUUUGUGUUGAAAACUAGACUAAAAACCAAAUAAUAACAUCAUAGUUUGAAUCUCAAGUAAUAUUUUUCUUCAUAGAAAUAAAUAAGUGACAUUCACGUCACAAAAUAAAUCAUACUGCAGAAUUUCAGGAUGAACACUAUCGAGUAAAAUUAUAUUUUCUCUCUACCAUCAUGGAGUUUCCCUUUCAAACCAAUUUUGUUUGAAAUUAGACACAUAAUAGUAACACAUAUAUUUUCACAAGCCUUAUAUCACUAUUUUAAGUUGGCUUGAUAAAUAUAGAUAUUCAUGUCUUCAAUGAAAGACAUACCAAAUUACAGAAAAUUCAGGAUGACCUCUUUUCAAUCUAAAAUUUUUAUUCCUAUCUUCUCAUAGAUAUUUCUCUCUCAAAUAAAUUUUAUUACAAAUUAAACUCAAAAUGGAAGUUUAAAAACUUGGUGUGAACCAUAAACAUUCCGUUAAGAAUAGAAAUUAAAUCUCAACUUCUAAGUCAUGAAAAUAAAUUUCGUUGAAGAAAAUAGCACUUGCGCAUCCUUCAAUAAAUUGAUCAUAUCUUUCAAACCACAAGGAAUUUCUUAAUGAAAAUUUUUUUGUUUGAAAGUAGACUCAAUUUUAUGCUUCACAUUCCAAUUUCAGCUAGAAAUAAAAUCAUAUGAAUCGUGAGAAAAAUCAUGGAACUCUUAAUUUCUAUAGGAUCUCCCACUGAAAUUUUACAAAUAAAUCCUAUUUUUUAAUGCACAAAAUAUCACUGAAGUAUGUAAUAAAAAAAUACCUCAUUUUAUUCUUCAUAUCUCUACUCCAAAAUGGCCCAGAAUACUUAUUAUGCAGAGUGCAUUUUCAGUGUUGGAAUAUUUCAAUAAUUCUUAACCGUGAGUGUAUUUCUUAACCUCAAAGGUCAAUAGCCUUCUUAUAUCCUAUUUCCAAGCUUGAUUUAAACUCAAUAAAGAGAAAAGAUAAUUAAGUCUACUUAUCUGAGUCACCACUAUCUGAUCGUACGGGAUCAACGGUCUAGCUUCCAUCUCGAAUUGAAAAAGCAAAUUUCGGCCACGCCACACCAAUGGAACUUGAACCCCUUUGAUUACAAACUCAAACCCUAGGUGAAUUCUAUUAGCAACCUAGUUUGAGAGAGAUAGAUUAUUUUUUUGCUAAAUCCGUAGUCAUAAAUCCAUAUUUGAGAGAUAAGAGAGAAGAACUCCAUAACUUAAAUCUUUAGGUUCUUUCACAAUGCGAGAGAGAGAGAGAUCAAACAUGAGAGAGAUAAACUUUCUUAAUAGAGAGAGAUAAAAAGAUAAGGUAUAAAGAUUUUUUGGCAGAAACAAUAUCUUUUUAUAGGGUUUCUUAGGGUUUUUUUUGGCUUGCCUCUUCUUGUGAGAUUGAAGAUAGACCAUCGAUCAAGGGUGACUUGUGGGGUGAAAGAUCUGAGCCAUUCAUUCCAUAUAUGGGCCAUCAACAUUAUGGAAGGCGCAUAAACCAUGAUCUCACUUUCCUAAACUAUUUCCUCAUCAAUAGAAAUUAAAUAAAUUAAAUAUAAUCAAAAUAUUGUACAUACCAUAAAUAGCACAAGUCUACUCAUUCUAUCCACAAAAUAUUUCAAAGAUAUAUCAAGUCAAUAUUUAGUCAAUAUCUUCCAACCAUAUGGCCACAUGCUAUAUCACCAAAAAAUAAGAAAGAGAAUAAGGAUGGGGCGUGCCACCCAAGGGAGGCACUCAUGGGCCCCACCUUCUAAAAAUAUGGCAGGCCCAUAUGCACAAUGGACCCUCAUGAUAUUUUUAUUUAUAUAAAAUUAAUAAAAAAAUUUAGAAUAUUAUUUGAAUAUUUAAACAAUUGUAAAAUCAAUAUAUUUAAUUUUAUAAAUCCAAAAAUUCUUAAUAAAAUAUCCAGGGGUUCAUAAAAAUUCAAAUAAUAAUCUUAAAAUAAUUUUCAUCAUAAAACAAGCAUAAUUAAAUUAAUUUGAUGGGAAAAGGAUCCAUAUGGUUUAGGAAUCAACAAUCAUGGGGUAGACCACCUGCAACUAUGGACUACAGACCACACUUACUUUAUCAGACCAACCCAGUGUUUCUCAUGACCCACAGUCCAAGCAGGAGCUCAUUAGUGGGUCACCAAAGUCCGGCUGAUGAGCCAAGGGAUUGCAAUCCCAGUCUGUGGAUUUAAGGUCCUCCCCUAGAGAUAAGUCAAAGUCACCAAGACCUUAUGCGACCACAACUGUAUGGCGCAUAGGGGUAUCUCUCGCAUAUACAUACGCUUCACCCUAAAAGCUGGAUUUCUGGCUUUCGCGAACGAUCUAUCAAUAUGCAUGCCGUGUGGUGGUACAUGGAUGAGGUUUUGACCGCCGUCUCUGUAGGCCACCAUCACACACAAGGGUCACACAGUCCCUCGGCUCACCAUCCGGGCAUAUUCUCCGACCUCAUCAAGGGCUAACCCAUUAAAACCCUUCUCGGUUUGUUCUUUAUGCCCAGGUAACAUACGUUUUUCUCAACCACAGUCCAGUAUCUGCAAACAUCGUAUGCUUAGUAUGGCCCACGAGGGAUCACACUCCCACUGAAUUCAUGUUCCACUAUAUUAUUUCAUUUUACAAGCACUCAUAAGGCCUUUAAAGGCUACAUAAACCCAACACUUCUUUCUUCUUAAGGCAAUGUGGAGAUAAUAUAAAUUGUAUUGUUACAUGAACUUUUGCAUCUAUGUGUAUGCACUUUGAUCUAUUAUAAUACUUUUCUCAAGAAAACUUUUACUUCAAAUAGUUGUGUGUUCCCUAUAUUAAUGCUUUCAUUAUACCGAAUGCUAAUAAAUUUCCGUACUCUCAUCAAGUUUCAUGUAUAUCGUUUUAAAAACCACGAUGGCUAUCGUUUAUGUUACUCUUCUAAAUGGUGAAGAAAUAAAGUAUGUCAUAUAGAAUCCCAAACAUGACUAAACUUUGUUCGAGAGCAUAGUAUAAAUGGGUGCAACAAAUUUGCGGAGAAGGAUUGGAAAUUAAUAUGCAGCUUCAUGUGUGAGGAGUAUAGAUCUGUAUUUUGCAUAGAUAUGCUAAAAAACAGAGUCAAAUGUUUGAAGUAUAAGUAUAGGAAUGUUAAAGAGCUCCUUCAAAAAUUUGGUUUCCAUUUUGAUGAAGGUACUAGGAGAAUAACUGGGCCAGGUUGGGAUGAGUAUGUUUAGGUAAAUUUUAAAUAUAGGUGCAAUUUUUAUUUUAAAAAACCCAAUGCUGGGACAACUAACAUUUACAAAUUGUAUGUACAUCGGCUAACAAAGCUAAUGGGAACUCGUUCAGCGUUAUUUUGCCUCCUCAGCAGUUUAUGGAUCAAGCUUUCGCAGAGGGCAUUGGCAUAACGUAGACAUUGGAAUAAUUAUUUUACUAAUAUCAUUUGUGUUCUAGUGAUAAGAACAUAUGCGAAGUGUAUUUUGUGACUUCUAUGGGAAUUUUUAUUUUACUUUUUGUUAUCUAACUUCGUAAACAUUUUUGUUAUGUAAUGAGAUGCAAUUUUACGGAUAUGAUGUGAUACACGAUGUGUACGUAGAGAGAAACUGAGACCGAAAGAAAUAAUCAUAAUUUAACCUAUAAAAUACCGAAAAUAUGAUCCGAACCAUGUAAUUUAUUUCUUAUAUUAUUGAUAACUUAUUCUCAAAAAACAUUUUCUAUUUGCCAUGUAUUAGUACAAAAUGAUCAACUUAUAGGAUCAACGACUAAACUGCAUUAAUAGUAAACAACCAAAACCUAGUUUUCAUAUUUAUGGUGCCAAACAAUGUAAAAUACUAGACUUUAUAGAAACUGGGUUCUAGCAGCCACUCAACCAACAUUGUGCUCAAAACCAGUUUUUAUAUAUAUUAGAAUCAACUGAAAUAAGUAUUGAGAAAAACCCCAGGAUUUCUGUAUUGGGGGAGUAUAUCCUACAUUUACUUCCUAGAAUAAAACUCUAUAUACUAGUAAUUUUUUUAGGAUUUCAAAUUUUGGAAUGGAACCUCCACAACCAAGUCAUGAUCAUCAUCAUCGUCAAAGCUUUUUUUUCAAAUUAGUUGGGGUCAUAUGAAGUAUGGUCUACCAUUUUAUCAUAUUAAGGGUCAUACCCUCAAUGAAGCCAUAAUCCCUUAUAUUUUUUCUCACUACUUCCAACCAUAUCCUUUCGGGUCUACCCUUGUCUUUUUGUAUCCUUCCACUUGAACUAACUCAUACUUCGUAAUAGGUGUCGUACUGGGUCGGCGCCAUACAUUGUUAGCUCAUCUAAGUCUUAUCGCCAAUUGUUGUCACACCUAAAAUUUUUCAAAUGUAUUCAUUUCGAAUUUUAUCCUUUCUUAUUUUAUCAUUCAUCCAUCUUAACAUCAUCAUCUAUACUACACUCAUUCUAUUGGUAUAUUGUUUUUUGACCAGCCAACAUUUUGUCUCAUAGCAUAAAACUAAUCUCAUAAUUAUCCUAUAGAACUUGCCCUUCAGCUUCAUUAGUAUGAGACAAUUACAUAAAAGUUUAGUUGUACAUCUGCACUUCACCACCUAACUCUAAUUCUAUGUGCGACAUCUUUCUCAAAAAAUAGUCCUAUAUGGUAAGAAAGGGGUAGAAAUAGUGUUUGUACAUAAUUUUCUCUAUAUUAUCAAAUCCCUAAUAUAUAUAUAUAUAUAUAUAAGUAUUGACACUAUGAGACCCUCCCACACCCAUGUUAGUAGGACCCCAAAGGAUCACCAUUAAAUUUUGAUGCAGAUCUCUAGAAAGUUAUCACAUGGGUGCUAGACUUUGGUGAAUGGGUUUAUUGAUAACUUUUCUAGAGAUCUGUGUCAACAUUUAAUGGUGGCAAUUUGGUGUCCUACUCACAUGGGUGUGAAAGGGUCUCAUAGUAUAAUUAUUAUAUAUAUAUAUAUAUGAACAGUGAUUUCGUCUACUCUUAUCACCGUCCAAAGUUCAUCGUACGGUCACGAUUUUUCGGCACUGUUUUUUUUUUUUUAAUAAAUCGAAAUGACCUGAAAUUUGGAGGAUAUAUACAUCUUAAUGAGUGUAUCUAAUAAAAAUAUAUUAAAAAAAAAAUUAUCCGCAAAAAAAAUUGACCAAAAUAACGCUAAUUUUUUCAUGUAAAAUAUUUUUUUUUAUAUUUUUCAAAAAUUCCCCUAUUUUUGAUGAAUACACAUUCCAAAUUUUAGGUUAUUUCGAUUUGUAAAAAAAAAAUUGAAAAAUGAAACACUACAAAAAAAUCAUGAAAACGCGAUGAAUUUUGGACGGUGAUGGGGAUAGGCGGAAUCACUAUCUAUUUUUGCCGAUGGGCAUUGCAUAUUGUUUUCUUAUAUAUAUAUAUAUAUAUAUAUGGGAUAUUCAAAUUACAAAGGUUCAUAGACAGAGAUGUGGGAAGAGUGGGUUUAUUAAUUUUGUUGUCUAUUUUUUAAAAAAAGUUACUUUUGUAUAGCAACUUUGUAUAUAUUUCUUAUAAGAACAAAGGGUAUUUUUAGUUCAUUCCCCAUAAGGGGUAAAAUUAGGAUAUUUUAACUAAAGGAAGAAGAACACUAACUUACCAAANNNNNNNNNNNNNNNNNNNNAUAUAGGAAAAGAUGAUAUUAGCCUUCUAGCUCAUAUGAACAUAUGAAUCCAACAGCCUACAUUGAAUCUGGACCGAUCUGACGAUCACGGAUGUCCAGUAGUACUUGAAUUUUAUUUAUUUUUCUACAAAUCCAAAUCAUUUGAAAUUUUAGGUGUGUAUUCUUCUCAGGCGCACCUAAUAAAAAUAUAAAACAAAUUAUCCAUAAAUAAAAUGACUAAAAUACCCCCUGAAAUAUUUUGGGAGUAUAUUAAUCAAUAUUUUUCAUGUAAAAUAUUUUUUUGAUAUUUUUCAAAUAUUCUCCUAUUUUUUAUGAACACACACUCAAAAUUUCAAGUGAUUUAGAUUUAUAGAAAAAAAAAAUUUAAUUGAAAUAAAUGCAACCACUCAAUUUCACAUUCGAUGGUCAAGAUUUAUUGUGACUACUUUGUACCAUUGGUAAAUGGUCCCAUUAUAUAUUUUUCCCUUGUCUCUAUAUGUAUAUAUGUUUGGUUGGGCCAUCCUUUUUCCUAACCGACCCAAUUAGGUUAGAAUAUAGAUAGAGCAGUGGUUUAAAAAACGGAUCGGUGAUUUGGAUCGGGAAUCCCAAAAACCGAUCAGGAUCGGCGAAUUGGUGAUCCGGAUCGGGAGUCGGGCUAAAUCGCUCUGAUUAAGCCUUAAAAAAAUUCAAAAAAAUUAUUAAAGUUCAUUAUAAAUGUUGUUUUUUAUGAAUCCAAUAAGAAAUGAGGGUCCUACAUUAUUAACUUUCAUUGUUUUUUUCAGUUUAUGAAUAUUGAGAUGUUCUUUCCCUGUAUGAACUUAUGUUGACCAUCAAAUUUACAUCACACAAAAAAAAUCAUAGAAUUAUCGUGGAUUAACUAUAUAAUCACAUAUGGACUACAAUAAAGAGUUACCUAAAUUGAUGAAAAAUUGGUCACUAAAAUAUCGAAUUGGCGGAAAACCCUAAUCCGCUAAAAAAACCUAAAUUAUUACAACCUAACUAACUAUAAUAUUACAUGCCAACAAUAUUGUAUAAUUAUUUUAUCAUAUAAAUAAUAACAAAUCCAAAAUAUUUUAUAAUAUCAUCUAAUAUAAAAUGUAUUAUUGACAGCUGUAAGAAAAAUAAUACCUACAUGAUUUAUAAUAAAAAAAAUUAAUAAAUAAAAUAAAAGAUUUGGUUAUUAAUGUAGAAAUUAUUAAAAUGCGUACCAAUUUUCUUUAAUUUUUUAGGUUUCUAUAAUAAAUUAAUGGAAGAGAUUGUUAGUAGAAAGAGAGAGAUUUCAAAUGGCCUCAUUGUAUGAAUCCUAUCUUUAAAUUAAUAUUACUAAAUUUAUGUUAAAGACCAUUAUGUUAUAAAAAUAAAAAAUAUAAUUAGACCAUUUUAUUGCGACGUUGUAUGAAGAAAUACCUUUUAUUUUUUAACAAGAAAUACUUAUUGUGUUAUCUUCUUUUUUUUUUUACAAGAAAAAUAUGAUACUUGUUGAUUAUCUUUUCUUUUUUUUUUGACAAAAGAAGGAGAUGUUAUACUACAUUUUUUUUUACUUGUUGUAUUACUUUUUAUUUUUAUUUACAAGAAAAAUAAAAAAUGAUGCUGCCAAAGUACAUUUUAUUUUUUUAUGCCUUUUGUUUUAUUUUUUUUGCAAGAAAUCCUUGUUAUAUUACCUUGUAUUUUUUGUACAAGAAAAAUAAAAAAAAAUGUUGUAUUAUCUUUUUUAUCUUUAUCUUGAAAAGACUUUUAUUUUAUAUUUUUUCUAUUUUUUACAACAGUAUUUUUUGCUUUUGUUUAUUUUUUGACAACAAAUUGUAUUUUUUACAAGAAAAGUAAAAAAAUGUUGUAUUAUCUUUUUUAUCUUUAUCUUGAAAAUUUUUUUAUUUUAUAUUUUUUCUAUUUUCUUACAACAGUAUUUUCUGCCUUUGUUUAUUUUUUUUUACAACAAAAUUUUUUUUGUAGUUUUUUGUUGUGCGCUAAGGGGUUCGAACUCAAAAAAAAAAAGAAAAUGUUAUGUGCUAAGGGGUUCGAAGUCAAAAUAUUUUUUGGUGUUUGAACUCAAGACAUACACUUGAAAAUCACUGUUGUCCACCAACACGGCUACGUCGCCACAUGUGAUAUUUAUAACGUCUAUAAUAAUAUAUAAUCAAUCAUCUUGUUUUAAUGAUUUUUUGUAGGAAUUAUCCCACAUCUAAGGAUAAGUGUUGCUUGUUUUCCUAUAGAUUCAUGUAGCGAAGACACUCCAUUGCGCGUAUAGAAAAAGAGAGGGAAGCAAACCUGAUGUGAGUUUACACGUGUAGCCACAUGUCACUCGUAAGUUGGCCACAUGUCAGUGCCGUGAGGCCGAGGGAAGCAGGCAUUGGUUAAGCAUCACGUAAUAGCCACGAAAAUAAGAAAGCGAGCCUAAUGUAAACUUAGCGUUGACAAUGAUUCGCAAGGCUCGGUUUGGCUGAAAAACCAGUUGGGUCAUGGGCCAAGGGCCUAUGGGUUGCACACCGGUGCCUGGGCUUGGGGCCCGGAUGAACGGCCACUCGGCCUAGGGCCACAACCAUGUUAGCCCAACCUUGUAUUUUCUUUUUUUUUUCUUUUUUUUUUUUUAUUUAAAAUAUCUAUUCAGUUAGGGGCCCUUUGGCCCAUCUGAUCCGGCCAGCCUAACAAACAAACCCAGUCGCCAACCUUAGUCAAACAUGACGUGACAAAGGACAAUGUUAGAGGAGUCAUGUCUAUAAGCCGUGGUGUAUGGAAGUCAUAAUGAAGAUAAUAAAGCAUGGUCACUAAAGAAUCCUACUGGGAUAGGAGGGUAAUAUCUAAGGAGGGUUUGGAAAUAGUUUUGAGCAAAGUUUCAAGCCAUCUUAUCAUUGAUAUAAGGGUGUCAGGCCCAUAGUUAGGAAAUUGGCUAUUAAUCGUCGAUUUUUUUUAAAAAUCGGAAUUUUUUAAAAAACGUUAAAAAGAGCUUUUUUUAAAAAAAUUUCAUUAAAAAAACUUGUUUUUUCCUAAUAACGUUAAAACACGUUUUUUUGGAGAACGAAUUAAACGGGCCUAAAAAAACAUAUUUUUGCUUGUGUUUUUUUUUAAAAGAGAAACAAAUUUUUUCUUGCUAUGUGUAAUUUAAAAAAAAAAAACAAUAUUAUUUCCAAAAAAAAAAAAUCCUAAAAUGAAAAUUUUUAUCCCCAAUUGAUUUAUGUAGUGUUAGGGUUUAUUGUCUUAGGGUUAUGCUAAAAUCACGUUCCUCUUCUUCAAAACCUCAUUUACAGAUUGAAGGUAUGAUUUUUUUUUUUUUUUUCUUUUUAACUUAAACAUGUCAAUGCUCAGUAGUUAUUUUGCAAAUGAAAUAUUGUUUGCUUGUAAAUUUAUAGAGGAAAUUAUUGUGUAUAGAAAUAAUAUAGAUGCAGAGUAAAGAAAACCAUAUCGAUCCAAAAUCCAAAUUUUUGUGAUGAAUAAUAUAUGCAUGCAUUAAACUUUUUUACUCCUGCAAAUUAAAGAAAUAUACAUUAAAAAUAUAUAUAAUCAGAUUAAACCUUCGAUAUUUAGGGCAUCGCUAAAUACAUACAAAUAACUAAAAAGAAAAAAAAAAUCUUAAAAUCAGCAAACCUAAUUUUAUGCUCUUGCAAAUUUCAUAAUCUUCAUGCUCCUGCAAAUUUCAGAAAAAGAACUCCGUCUUCUUGCUCCUGCAAUUACAGAGAAAAACCCCAUUUCAUUUUCUCUCUCUAACAGAAAAACCCCCUUUCAAUUUCUUUUUCUUUUUUUCUCUCUAAUAGAAAACCCCCUUUCAAUUUCUAUUUCAUUUUCUCUCUCUAAUAGAAAACCCCCUUUCAAUUUCUCUCGCAGAUAAAACCCCCUUUCAAUUUCUCUCUCUAACAUAGAAACCCCAUCUCUCUCUAACAUAGAAAUCCCCUUUCAUUUUCUAAUCCUUUCAGUUCCAGCCCAUCCUCCCCUUUCAGCUCCAGGCAUCUCCUUGCUUUCAAUGGAGCAGCUAUUCAGCUCCAGGCCUCUCUCUGUUCUCAAUGAAGCAACGAUUACCCAUACUCUCCCUUUCAGCUCCAGCCUAUCCUCCCCUUUCAGCUCCAGCCCUCUCGCUAUUUUGAAGGAAACAGAAAUUACCCAUAGUCUUCAGGCAUAUCCCUAUUUUCAACGAUAUUUGUUUUCAAUGAAAACAAGAAUAUAAAGUAUAAAACCUUAUUUUUAACCAUAGUUACAAAAUGACUAAACCUUGGUUAAAGCAUUUAAUGAAAAAAAAAUUGUACCUUUUUUUGGGUAUGUUGAUACUUGCUGAAGCAUUUAAGUAGAUUUGGGUAUGUUGAUAUUAAGUAGAUUUUGGGUACGUUGAUAUUUAAGUAGAUUUGAUAUUUAAUUGUAUCUUCUUUUUUUUUGGUAUGUUGAUAUUUAAGUAUAUUUGAUAUUUGUUAAAGUAUUCAAAGUGAAAAUUUAUAUGGUGUAUGUUGGGUAUGUUGAUAUUUAAGUAUAUUUGAUAUUUGUUGAAGUAUUCAAAGUGAAAAUUAUAUGGUGUAUGUUGGGUAUGUUGAUAUUAAAGUAGAUUUGAUAUUUGUAAAAAAAAAAUUGUGUUUUUUUUUGGGUAUGUUGAUAUUUAAGAAGAUUUGAUAUUUGUUGAAGUAUUUAAUGUAAAACUUUAUAUGGUGUACUUUUUUUGGGUUUUUUUUAAGUAGGUGUGAUCUUUGUUAAAUUAUUUAAUGUGAAAAUUUAUAUCGUGCAUUUUUUUUUUUUGGUAUGUACUAAGUAGGUGUGAUGUUGGUUAAAACAUCUAAUGAAGAUAUUCAUAUGGUGUAUUUAUCAUGAACUUAUUAUUUUAUUUUUUUAUAAAGAGCAUGAACGUCUAACGUGUGUACACUUAUAUAUUAUUAUUUUUUAUUUGUUAAAAAACAGGAAAGAAGAUACAAUGGUUAGGUCAAAAGAUCCAUUUUGGGAUUAUUGUGAAGAAAGAAGACAUAAAUUGUAUUGCAAUUUUUGCGGUGAAGGAUUUUCCGUCGGGAUAACAAGAUUUAAAUAUCACUUGUCAAGAGAACAAGAGAAUGAUAUAAAAGUUGGUCCUCAAGUACCAGAUGAUGUACAAGCUAUAGCUGUUUCUGUGACACACGAGGUAUCUUCUAAGCCUCCAAAGAAGAACAAAAUUAUAUCAUAUGUUCAAAAUGUUUAUCAAUGUUCGAUAAACUUAGGUACAUCUACUGUCAGUUCCCGUUUGCAAAAAAGUUCUUUACCUUCAUUGUUGAAUAAGAAAAAUAAAGUUUUGUUGACAAAGAAGUUGCUCGUGCGUUUAUUAUGAAUAAUAUUGCAUUUAAUGUUAUUAAUGCACGAUCAUUUGUCAAUAUCAUAAAUGCAUGUAUCAAUUUUGGUCCUAGCUACACAUUGGCAAGUUAUUCUUCUGUUCGCACUAAAUUGGUAUAAGAACUUAAGACAGAUGUCGAUGCAUAUGUAGCUUCAAUAAAAGAGUCAUGGGUUCAAUCAGGAUGUACUUUGAUAUCAGAUCUUUGGUUGAAUAUGAAAAACCGGUCAUUCCUCAAUGUUGUUGCAUCUUGUCCAAAGGGAUCAGUUUUUAUAAAUGCAUUUGAGGUAUCUGAGCAUAGCAUAACUGGAUUAUUUCUUAAAAAGAUUCUUGUUCAAGUCAUUGAGGAGUUAGGACUACAAAAUACUGUUCAUCUUAUGACUGACAAUGAAUCAAAUUAUAUACUUGCUGGUGAUCUAAUAUAAUCGAGAUUCUCUCAUAUUCAUAAAACACAGUGUGCUACCCCAGGGGUUGAAUUUGCUUCUAGACGACAUUGAUAAAAAGGUUAUUUGGGUACAAAAUGUCACUAAGGAUGCUAAGCUAAUAGUGGAUUUAAUGUAUCUCCAUACCAUUGCUUUAGAUUUAAUGAGAAAUAACAUUAAUGGAAGGGAAUUGAAAAAGUAUGGUAAAACUAGAUUUGCCACUAACUUUUUGAUGGCUCAAUCUGUAUUGCAUGUAGAAGAGGGUUUGAGAGUGAUGGUUGCAUCCUCUGAGUGGAGAGCUAUGAAUUAUAGCAAGAGUAAAAAUGAUACAAAAAUCACAGAAAUAAUUCAAAGCUCCAAAUUUUAGAAUGAUACAAUCACUACAUUAGUGCAUCUUAUCAAGGUGCUUCGUUUGGGUGAUAGUGAGUGGUCAACCAUGGAAUAUUUAUAUGAAGCAAUGGAAAGGGCAAAGGGAGCACUAAAGAUAAAUUGUAAUGGAAAUGAAUCUAGGUAUAUUGAAUUAGUGAAGAUAUUCGAAAAGAGGUGAAAGGAAAAUCUAAUUCAGCCCAUUCAUGCCGCUGCCUCAUUUCUUAAUCCAACUUUAAUGUACAGUGGGUUUCUUAAACUUGAUAAUCCUGAAGUGAAGGCUGAUUUUACCUUGAUAUCAAAUUCAAUUAUCCAGACAAAACAAGAAACUGUAUUCUUUUCAGAGUUGUUGAAGUACCAUACGCGGGAUUCAAAUAUAUUUGAUAGUGUUGCAUUGGGAUUAUUGUCAACAGCUCAUCCUCGUAAGUAUCCUCUUGAUUAUCAAAUUUUUGUAUCUUCUUGUCAACAGCUCAUCCUCGUAAGUAUCCUCUUGAUUAUCAAAUUUUUGUAUCUUCUUGUAUUAUUAUUAUUAUUAUUAUUAUGCAGGAGUUGGUGCGAAGCAUGCGAAGAAAGCAUUCCACUGGUUCGAAUGGUUGCCAUUAAGAUUUUGAGCUAACCAUGUAGCUCAUCAGCGUGCGAAAGAAAUUGGAGUGCUUUUGAGGCGACUCAAACCAAAAAAGAGAACAGAUUGGCACUAACUAUGUUAACCGACUUGGUUUACAAACGAGUGAACUCGAAGAUGAUGGCUGCAUCACGUGAAAAUGAAAUUCGAGAUUGUAAUGCAAUUAAUCUAGAACAACUUGGUUCAUUGUCGGAAGAGGUUUCCGAAGAGGUGGAACAUGAGGAUACCUCUCCGGAUAAUGAUGGUGAUGAUGCAUGGCUACAUGACUUGGGCAUUACACAUUCCCAAACUCCUAACUUUUCUUUUGACUCUACCCUACCUUAUGCUUAAUUUUGAAUAUUUCUAGUUAAUUAUGUUUUGAAUAUGGGAUAACUGGAUGAGAGUCAUGAGUCAUCUAAAUUAAUAGACUUAAUUAUAUCAGUCUAGUAAAGUUUUUAUGAAUGGAUUAGUUAUUGAUGGCUUUGACAUAAUUUUUAUUUUUCAGAAUUUCAAAAUUUCUAACAUUUUAACUUAUCUGAUUUUUUGACUCCGAUUUUUUGAGCCCAGUCUGAUAUAUUGGCGAUAUCUUUACAUGAAGUAUUUUUUCCGAUCCAUAUUUUUUAUUCGAAUUUUCCAUCUGACUUUUUAAAAUAAAAACGAUUUUUUCCCGAUUUUAAGGUAAGCCGAUUUAUUGAAAGUCCCCGACUUGCUAACUAUGGUCAGGCCGAAUGUUCCUCAUUUUUGUAAGAAGGCUUUUUUUUAUUGUUACGAGAGGAUAUUUUAAGGGGCAAGCUUUCUAUGCUUCCCCUACAACAUAAAACUUAUAUACUCCCCCUUAUCCAACUAUCCAUUCUGUAUCGAGGGUUAAGAUUGCCCCAAUCACAAUGUUACGACUCUACUCUAUUUUAUUUUUAAUUUUUUUCUAUAAACUAUUUUGACACCAAAUUUUGGAUGUCGAUUCCUCUAUUAAACUCGCACUAGCGAAAAAUAUAUAAAAAAAUAUUUUAAAUAAAAUAAAAUGAACAAAAUACCCUUAAAAGUUUCAGGGUAUUUUGGUCAUUAUAUUUUAUUGAAAUAUUAUUUUAAUAUUUUUUAUAAGUGCUCCCCAAUAAGAAGAUGGUACGUACCAAAUUUUAGAUUCAUACAAAUUAUAUAAAAAAAUUAAAAAUAAAUAUUUUGAAACGUCAGAUCUAAGAUCAAAUAGUGAGUGACUCUCUUGAUCAAAAUUGGACGGCUGGAUGGUCGGGGGAGGAUAGAACUUCUAUGUUAUAAGAGAAGUAUAGAAACCUUUCAUAUUCUAAUACUAAAGUUAUUCUGGAACCGUUUUCAUUGAUGUCACCUCACUCUGGUAGCUUUUUAUUUAAUCCUAUUUCUUUAGAAGUUUUUCUUUGUUAUUUUAUUGAGAUAAAAUACCUCAAAUGGAAUUUUUUUAUCAAAAUUUUCAGGGAUUGGCCAAGGUGAUCAUGAAUACUAAAAACAAAUAAAUAAAAAAGCUUAAAAUUUAAAAUCUACUUUUUUUAGGUCAUUAUUUUUUAUAUAAUUUUAGUAGGUGCCCUUGCAAUGUGUAUCUUAAAGUUGGACGUUUGUAAGCUAACUCAUGUAAAUCUUUUUCAUUUUGCAAAGAUAAAUUGCCUUUUGUAAUCACUUCAUGCAUAUAUAAACAUAUAAUCGUUUUUAAAAAUAAAUAUAGGUAGUAAAAUUUUAAAAUAUAUCAUCUUUAUGUUUAAUUAAAUAUUAUAUGAAUAAAUAUAUAUUUAUUUUUGUUUUUUGUCACAUGUAUUCAAGGGAAUUUAUUUAAUAAAACUCUCCUAUGUAGGGAGAUAAUCUUAGUUUAUAAGGGGAGAGAGAAAAAUCUAAGAUUUUGAAGAGAGAAUGUGUAAAAGCCAUAGGAGAAGAGAUAGAAAGUUGAACAUUUCUCUUUCAAAAGACUAUGAGAAAAAGGUUUGUGUCAGUUUUAUCAGGAUCGGGCCGGCCACCAAACAAUUGAGAGCUUUAGAAAAAAGAAAAAAAUGUUUGAUAUAAUAGUUUAGAAAUAUAAAAUGUAUUAAAAGUUUAACUUUAUUUGAUCGAAACUUGUCAAACCUGCUGGUCCUCUCAACCAAAAUUAGUCAGACAUUGACUUUAGCUAGUUUUCAACCAAAUAUUAUUUUUACCGUGAGUCACCCUGACCAAGGUACCAAUCAGCAGUCUAAUCGGGCAGACCACCUGUUCGGUCCAGUCUUGAUAACUAUGGUUUGUGUCGGGCGAAAGGCUUCUAUACUUCUACUGUAUAGAAAUUCUAUACUUCUCCCCAAUCCAGCUAUCCAAUUUAGAUCAAAUAAGUCAUUGACCGUUUGAUCUAGAUCUGAUGCCUCAUAGUAUUUUAUUUUUAAUUUUAGUUUUUAUUCUACAAAUUAUAUAAAUAUAAGAUUUAAUAUGUGCUAUCAUCUCAAAGGGAAGAACCUAAAAAAAAUAAAACAAAUAUUUCUAAUAAAAUAAAUGACCAAAAUACCUUUGAAACUUUCAGUGGUAUUUUGGUUAUUUUAUUUUAUCGAGAAUAUUGUUUUUAUAGUUUUUUUAGGUGUGAAUUUAAGAGAAGAGUGGAAGCUCAAAAUUGGUGUAAAAAUGUUUUGAAAAAUUUUUGAAAAUAAAAUAGUGUAGAGGUGUGACAUUGGCAUUAGAUCCAUCUCAGCUGCUCAUUCAAAUCUGACGGCUAGAUAUAUAGAAGUAUAUAACUACUAUACAUUAGGGGAAUAUAGAAAGCUUGCCCGUAGCGAAAAGGUUUCUAUACUUCUCCUACUGUAUAGAAGUUAGGCCCUUGUUGCAAGCUUUUUAUACUUCUCCUUAUGUAUAUUACCUAUAUAUCCCUAUCCAACCAUCCAUUCUGAAAGGAUGGCUGAGAUGACUUCAAUCAUAAUGUCACUCCUCUGCACUAUUUUAUUUUUUAUUUUUUUUCUAAAAAAUAUUUGCACACCAAAAUUUGGGCAUCAACACCUCUCUUAAACUCGUACCUUUAAAAAAUAUAAAAAUAAUAUUCUCAAUAAAAUAAAAUGACAAAAAUACUCCUAAAAAUUUCAAAUAUAUUUUAAUCAUUUCUUAUAUGAAAAAUAUUUAUUUGAUAUUUUUUUUCAAGUGCGUCCCAUUGAAAUGAUUGCAUAUACUGAAUAAGAAAGGUAAUAACCUUUGUGGUCAAGUAAUACACCUUCGGUUAAGAAUUACUAGAAUAUUCAAACACCAAAAAAUGCACUCUGCAUAAUGGGUAUUCUGAGUUAUUUUGGAGCAGUGAUAUGAAGAAGAUAAUGAUGUAUUUUUUUAUUUCAUACUUCAGUGAUAUUGUGUGUUUUUUGGAGUAGGAUCUAUCUGCAAAAUUUCAGUCGAAGAUCCUAAGGGAAUUGAGAGUUAUUGACUCAUCAAUGAAUGGUGUCAUUUCUGAACCUGCAAAAUCUAGGAAUUGUCCAUUGAGUUACAUAAUUUUUCCCACCAACUAUAUGAUUUUAUUUCUAGCUAAAAUUGGACUGUAACUCAUAAAAUUGAGUCCACUUUCAAACAAAAAUAGUUUAAUCAAGAAAUUUCUUGUGGUUUGAAAGAUAUCAUCUAUUUAUUGAAGGGUGGGCACGUGUUAUUUUCUGUAACGAAAACUAUUUCAAUGACUUGGAAGUUAGAAGUUUAUUUUCAUUCUUAAUAUAAUGUUUUAUGGUCUAAACUAAGUUUUUAACUUUCAUUUUGAGUCUGUUUUCUAAUAAAAUUUACUUGAAAGUGAAAUAUCUAUGGAAAGGGGAGAAUAAAAAUUUUGGAUUUAAGAGAUGUCAUCCUAAAUUUUUGCAAUUUGGUAUGUUUUUAAUUAAGACAUAAAUAUCUAUAUUUAUCAAGCCUAUAUAACAUAGUGAUAUGAGGCUUGUGAAAAUAUAUAUAUUACUAUUAUAUGUCCACUUUCAAAAAAAAUUGGUUUGAAAGAGAAACUCUUUGAGAGUAGAGAGAAAAGAUAAUUUUACUAUAUAUUGUUCAUCCUGUAAUUCUACAGUAUGAUUUAUUUUGUGAUAUGAAUGUCACUUAUUUAUUUCUCUGAAUAAAAGUAUUAUUUGGGAUUCACACUAUGAUGUUACGAUUUGGUUUGAAUCUAGAUUUUCAACAUAAAAGAUUUCAAGAAGAAAUUCUUUGAGGAUUGAGAGAAACAUUUUUUUAUUGAGAGGUGCUUAACCUGAUUUUCUGUUGAGAAAAUUGUAUUGUGACGUAAAUGUCACUAAAAUGAAGACUCAUUAAAUUAUAUGAUUUAGGGAUGAAACUAAGCACUAUUUUAUAUUUUUUAAUCUAUUUCAAUACUCAAAAGGAUUCAGAGAAAAACUCUAUAUGAGUUGAGAGAUAUCAUAUUUUUAUCAUGGGAUGCUCAUGUUCGAUUCUUUAGUAAAUUAAAAGAUGUGGCAUGUUAAUGCCCAUCUUUGGAUUCUUCAUAAUGAAGACUUUUUUAGGGCUCAUUUAAAAAUGUUUUAUAGUGUUCCAUGAGUAUGAUUUAUUAUAGUAAAACUUAAUAGAGAUGUAAUAUAGAGUUGGCGACAUAUGAUACUCUAUAUGAAGAGUAUUUUAUCAGGGAAUAGCUGAAAGAAAAAAAAACAGAAUACAUAUAAAAGCAUCUUGGUUUCUUCAAGAUCAAGCGAUACAUGGAUAGACUUUGUGGUAGCAAAAAAACGCUAAAGAUCAGUGGGAGAAUCAAAUUUGUGAUAUUUAAAAUGAUGGGAUGAAGAAGAGAAUUUCUUCACGGUGUAAGAUAGAGAAAAUCUAAGUGCCAAAGAGAUAGACACUUCGUGACAUGUAAAACCAUUAACCAACAUAUUCUCCAUAAGUUGUGCGUUAUUUCAAGAUCACAAAAGCUUGUCAAACAAAUAAAAGCAAUGAAUCAAUAAAGCCCAUGUACCACACUACAUGAUUUUGAAACAUGAAAUUUAUCCCACAUUACAUGGUAAGGUCAUAUAAGGAAAGAGGACUUAAUAACUUUUUAUUUUAUGUUUAAUAUGCUUUGGUUAUAUUUUAGCUAAUUGUUUUAUGAAUCUGUAUGGAGUGUAUGGAAAUAAAGUGAUGGGUGCUAACAAAUUUGAAAGAGCUGAUUUAUAAAUACCCUUUGUUUUAAUGUCUCCUUGUGCUUAAGUAUGAACUACUUGAGGUAGUAAUACACAUGGAGAUGUGAUUUGAUUAGGGGCAAUAAGAAUGAAACACGAGAGGUGGGUGUGGCUCAUUCAAAUAUGUAAGCAUGAAGGGAGUGCUCUGAUGGAACUCAAUAUUAGUGACUAUCCUUCCAAUAAUGUCUAUAAUAUGAUGUGCUGCUUGUGAUGUUGAUCUCUUGAUAAAUUCUCCACCAUAUUUGCCAAAAAUGAAGUAUUUUGUCAAGGCUUUAAUAAUCAUUCUUUAGUAAUGCUUUAUUUUAGAUAAAAUUAUAAGAUGGUAUAUAUAAUUUGUUUUUGUGACUAUGAACUUGACUUGGUAGGAAAUUAAAAGUGAAUACGGAAAAAUGAUUUAAGCAGGCUAAGCAUAUAUUUUAAAAUUGGAUGAUUUGAGAAAAACCUAAGUCUAUGAAUAUGGUUUUGAGAAAACCACAUAGUCUUACAAGGUCCACUAAUUAUUUAUGAAAAUAAUUUUAAACCAUCAUAUUAUUAUCUAAUUAUUGCUUGUGAAUGCAUAUAUAUGUACCAAGUCAACAGUUUUUUUUUUAUUAAAGAGAAAAGCAUUGUGUUUUGGAGGUAUUUAUAAAAAUAAGAGAAAAACUAUUAUGCACUGGUUUUUAAAUACCCAUAUGCCUUGACUCAUGUUUCUAGUUAUUUAGAAUACUCGAUUACCUAAGACCUUGAACUAUAGGGAAUAUUGUAGGAAUGUUAUCUUGCAAGGUUUCCUUGACACAUGUUGUGUUGAUUAAGAUAACUUGGUUUGUAUGGAUUUACUACUAAGAUGAUUAGUGUGGUUGGACCUUUAUGGUUCAUGAAAGUUUUGCAUAUUGUGAAACCAAUGGGCAUUGAAUUACUUAUUAUAUAAGAAUGCUAAGAAUGUAUAUGUUGUAUGUGUAAUAAUUGAGUGAGAGCUACUACAGUCUCAUAGUUUUUUUUUAGUUGCUUGGAUAUUCAGAUAUACAAGUGCAAGCUAUCUCACGGAUCCAGAUGAUGUAAAAUCUACAUCUAGAUAUGUGUUCAUGCUUGAAAGGGGUAAAGUUUAUUGGAAAUGAAAGAAACAGGAUGUGGUGGCAUUAUCCACCAUGGCGGUAAACUAUGUCGCGUGCUGUUUGAUGGGCAAGGAGGUUGUAUGGAUUAAGAAAUUUUUUAAUCGACUUGACUUUCACCCCGUGCAUUGUGAGGCAAUAAGGAUUUUCUGUGACAAUAUGAUGGUGAUUUGUGUGUCAAAGGAGUCAUGAUUCCAUAAGAUCUCCAAGCAUAUAAAAUCAUAUUUCUAUCACUUGAAGAAUGAGGUGAGAGUGAGAUUGUAAUUGGGGAUGAAAGAAAGUGACGAAGACAUAAUGUAAGGCCUACAAAGUCCAAGUAGGAGAUGUUGGGUGAAUGUGGCGUCCUAUGAGUGCUUGUAAAAUGAAAUGAUAUAAUGAAACAUGAAUUCAGUGGGAGUGUGGUUCCUCGUGGUCCAUACUAAGCAAACGAUAUUUGUUGAUACUGAACUGUGUUUGACGGUCGAUGCCAGUCGAUUGAGAAAAACCUAUGUUACCUUGGGAUAGAAAAUUAACCGAUGAGGAUUUUAAUGGGUCAUCCUUUGAUGAGGUCGGAGUAUGCUCGGAUCAGUAAGCCGAGGGAUUGUGAGACCCUUGUGUGUGAUGGUGGCCUUCAGAAACGGGGGUUAAAGCCUCAUCUAUGUACCAUCACAUGGCAUGCAUAAUGAUAGACUAUUUUGGGAAAACAAACCACCUUUCAGGUGAAGCUUAUGCAUGUACAAGAGAUACCCAUAUUCGUCAAAGGAGGUUUGGUCACAUCAGGUCUAGUCGAUUUUAGCACGUCUCUAAGGGAGAACUGAAAUCUACAGACAGGGAUUGCGACCCCUUGGCUCAUCGGCCAGACUUUGGUGACCCACUAAUGAGCCCCUUUUUGGAUUGUGGGUCAUGAAAAACACUGUGUCGAUUUGAUAAAGCAAGUGUGGUAUGUCGUCCACAGUUGAAAGUGAAGUGCCCCAAUGUUUUAUUGAUUUAAUUCUUAAACCAUAUGGAUCAUUUUCCAAUCUAAUGAAUUUAAUUAUGUUUGUUUUAUGAUAUAUAUAUGAUUUUAGAAUUAUUAUUUGAAUUUUUCUAGAUCUUUGGAUAUUUUAUUUAUCAAAUUUGAAUUUAUAAAAUCAGAUAUAUUGAUUUUGCAUUGAUUUAAAUAUUCAAAUAAAUUCUAAAAUUAUUUUAUUGAGUUUUAAAAAUAUUUAAAAUUGCAUGGGGGCCCAUUGUGCACAUGGGCCCACAAUGGCCUAGAUGGUAGGCCCCAUGAGAUAGUCUCAUGGGUGGCAUACCCCACCCAUUUAGAAGCUUUCUAUUUUUGUGACAAGUGACUUUUGUUUGUCGGCUAGGUUGCUAUGUGUUUUGGAAAGGUAUUGGCUUGAGGAAACUUUGAAUAAAUUUUUGAAAAGUAUGAAAAAGCUUGUGCAUUAUUUUGGUAUGCACAAUAUUAUAGUUAGAAUUAUUUUAUUUAAUUUAUAUUGAUGGAAAAAUGGUUUAGAAAAAGGAGAUAAAAGUUUUAGCACAUUUUAUAAUGUUAAUGGCUCAUCUAUGGGAUAGAGGGCUUAAAUCGCUCAUCCCAUAAGUUACUCAAGAUUAAUGGUUCAUAUUCAAUCUCAUAAAAAGAGGUAAGUCAAGAAAAACCUUAAGAAACUCUAAUAUUAUUUAAAGCCUAUAAAAAUAUAUUGUCUGUACCAAAAAUCUCUACACCUUAUUUUUAUAUCUCUCUCCUAAGAAAGUUUAUAUCUCUCUCAUGAAAGCCCAAAGGGGUAUGUCCCACUUUCUCAUUUUUGAUCUCUCUCUCACCCACACUGUAAAAAGGGGUAAGCGUUUAGGCUAUUGGUUUCUUUUAUCUCUCAACUAUUGAUUUAUGGCUAAGGGUUUUAGGGUAUAGCAAAAGGAUAAUCCAUCUCUCUCAAACUAGAUUGUUAACGAAAUUCACCUAAUGUUUGAGUUUGUGAUCAAAGGGGUUUCAUGUUCUAUUGGUAUGGCUUGGCCUAAACGUACUUUCUCGAUUGAGAGUCAUCAGAUGGUGGUGACUCGAUGUGGGGUAUAAUAAGUCCAGUUGAGGUAAUCUUCGACACUCUAUUUUAUUUUUUGUCAUAUUUAAUUAUAUUAUCUUUAUAUUCUCAAGCAUAAUAAUUGUGGAUAUUUUCUUUGUUUAAAAAAAUUGGUUUAAUGACAUCAAUAUUUUUAAGAUAUUGUAUUUAUUAGUUUUAUUUUUUUUGAAACAAGAGUUAUUAUAAUAAAACUAAUAAUAUUUACCAAAAUAAUAAUAGUAAUGAAAAAAUAUAUAUAUAUAUAUAUCCUCAGCAAGAUCACAUUAAUCUUUCUUUCAAGAGUUUGAGUCAACCCUAACCCAGAUCCUACCAUAUAGGGUCAUGGUGAGGCUUAGACCUAACACGUACUCGGUUUCAUCUAGGUGAAAUGUACUCGGACUUGACCCAUCUGUUUGGGUUUCGCUGGUUUUUGUUGAAGUGAUGAGGGAGAGCAUGAGAUGUGAGACUGAGACGGAGAAAAUGGUUUUUGUUUAGCAAACCUCAAACGACCCACAUGGAGGUGGAUUCUGUUGUUUUUUUCAAUCUUUUGGGCUUUAGAUUACCCGUCACGCUCAUAUUUUAUUUCCCAGCCCUCUCCUUGUGUAAUCCAUUUCACGUUAAAUAGGGAAAUCUCGGCUGCUUAUACAUACCCAAACACCGAAAAAUAUCAUUUAUUUUUCUGUAAUAGAUUUUCAAGUAUGCCUCUAAUAAUAAAAUAUAAGAAAAUUGUUUUAUGUGGGCUGGACUGUAUUUCUAUAUACGUGGUUUUAAAAGCAUAAAGUAUCCAUCUUCAUCUUAAAGAUGGAUGCAAGUAGGUGUUCCAUCUAAAAACAAAAGAAACUAACAGUACUAAAAUUAUUAUUUUUAACUUUUAAAAAUUAUUUAUUUUUUUAUAUUUAUAAUCUCCAUAUUAGAUAUUACAUGUCUUUACAAUUAAGUCUUAAAAUCCAUCUCAAAAAUAGAUUUCUUAAGAGGGCCACAUUUCUACCUAUGCGGGCUUGGCCGCAUAGAAACAAGGUCCUAAAAUAUAAUAGUUUAAUUUUUUUAAAUAAAAAAACUCUUACUUUUAAAGGUAGCAACAUUAAACAAUCCAAUUAAGAUGCACCUCCAAAUUUUAUCGUAACAUGUAAUUUUAUUGUAAUUUUUUUUUAAAAUUAUCUUAAAAACUAUUUUCGUAUCUAGAUAAUGUAUUUCAAGAUGCAUUAUGUUUUAGACUUAAAAACAUUUAUUUUAAUAUUCACACAUCUUGAUGUCAAGAUGACCAAUUAGAGGUUUUUCAAACAGCCAUUCCGAUAGAUUUUUGAGGUGCAUGUGAUUCUACAUUUUAAGAUUGUAACCAACUUUUCCCUACUUUUAAUUGUAACUUUUUUAUAUAUUAUCAUAUUAAUGGUCUCUAUGUUACUGAUUAUAUAAAUCUAAAAUAUUAGGUGUAAAACUCAUCUGAAAAAUAUAUGAAGAACUGAGUCCUGGGACACAUAGAAACCAUGAUCGGAUAACACGAGCGACUGAAAAAAAAUAAAAAAUGUAGCAUAUGCUCCCGCGGGAUCAUAUAAAAGAAACUAAAACAGAGCAAAAACAAACAGAAAACUCAAUUCCCCAUCCAUGGCGCCCUGCGAACCCAAGGUCACGGCGCGAUGCCCCUACUGCUCCGGCCCAGGCCCAGCUCGUUCCCCUCCGCUGUCGGCCGUUGCCCGAUCGGCCAUGACUGCCGAGUGCACCUCCUGCGGCCGCGUCGUCGGCGAGCGUCAGACCGUGACCCACGAGCUCUUCUUCGAGCGCGCCCAGUACUCGCCACUGUGCAUUGUGACUCCUGAUCUCUCCAACCCCGCCAACCUCCCUCCUCCCAUGGCCGACGACCCCUUUGAAUCCACCGGCUUCAUCACCGCCUUCUCCGCGUUCUCGCUCGACCUCGUCCCCGUAUUUACACGAUCGGCCUGGGGGUUUUCGGGUUAUUUGGGCGAGAUGGAGAGGGUUUUAAUGGAGUUUGAUUCUGAUGCUCUGAGGGCUUAUUUGCAGAUAGUCGACGUGUCGAGUAUUUUGGGGGUGGAGAGGGAUAUAAGUGACCAUGCUAUCCAGUUGUUCAGAGACUGUGCUUGCACUACUUAUCUGAGGAAUAGGAAUGUGGAGGCCUUGGCGACUGCGGCCCUGGUGCAGGCCGUAAGGGAGGCUCAGGAGCCCCGGACUUUGCAGGUUAGUUAGGGUUUUUGUUUUUUCUUUUUUCUUUUUUUUUUUUUGGGUUCUUGUUUUUGGGUUUUUGAGGGUUUUUUGUGAUAUUUUUGGGGAUUAAUUGGUUCUUUGGAUUGAUGGUGUAUGGGGUUUUGUCUGGCUUUCGUCCAUUUGUUGGGUUCUUUUUUUUUUUCUUUUUCUUUUUAAAGUUAUUGUUUUGGAUUUUUUUUGGUUUUUUUUUAUUUUUGUUAUAUUUCGGUGAGUACUUUUUUUUUUUUUUGAGUUAUUGUGUUGGGAUUUCUUUUGGUUUUUCUUUAUUUUGGUUAUCUUUCGGUGAUUAAUUGGUUGUUUGGAAUGAAAAUUUGGGGUUUUCGCUGGCUUUUAUUCUGUGUCCGCUUUUUCGAUUUCUUUUUUUUUUUCUGUUUUUUGAGGGACUCGAUAUGUUUCGAUUUUUCUUUUUUUUCUUUUUUUUUUUGAUUGGUUGUUGGAAUGUAAAUAUGGUGUUUUGGCUGGAUUUUGUACUGUGUCCAUUUACUGUAGGUGGUUUUGGUCCUUUUUGGUUUUGUGCUUGUUUUUUUACAAGAACAUGGUUGGUCCGAAGCAGUGAGAAAACGAUAUGGACCAAAGCCUCAAGGACAUGGUUGGAGUAGUGAAAAAAGAUGCAGAUCUUAUAACCUGAGCCCUCAUGUGCCGUCUUGAUUGGAUGGCAAACCAAGAUUUUUGUAGUCAACCUCAAAUAGUUGGAGAAAAGGCUCGAUGAUGAUUUCUUUGCAAUAAAAAAUUUAUGUUCAUUGACACGUUGGUUUUCGGUUGUUUGAAUGGCAAUUUUGGGGUUUUGGCUCGCUUUCAGCCCGUCUAUUUUAUUGGGGAGGUUUUGUUUUAGAUUGUUUGCGUUUUAGAUCGCCUUCAUUCUUUGUUCAUUUUUGGAGUCGCUUGAUGGACUGGUAGUGUUUUAGUGUUAGCAUGUUUGGCUCUUUGGAUUGGAGGCUUUGGGGGGUUUUAACAUACCCCUUUCCCAUUGGAUUUUUUUCUUUUCCUUUUGUUAAUUGAAUUGGUUCUUUGGAUUGAAAAGUGCGUGUCUGUUUAAUUUAUUCUUUUGGUUGUUUGGAUUAGAAUGGGUUUUUGCUGGGUACUCUGGUUUUACUUUAUGUGCUACUGGUUUACUGUAAAUUUUAUGAUCUGCCCCACUGAAUUGGCUAUAGGAAAGUUGGUUUUAGCUCUCUAUCUCUCUCAUUCGAAAUUUGGGUAUAGGAAAGUUGGUAUUAGCUCUCUAUCUCUCUCAUUCGAAAUUUGGGUAUAUGAAAGUUGGUUUUAGCUCUCUAUCUCUCUCAUUCGAAAUUUGGGUAUUUAGGGAGAUUGAUCAUUUGGAAAAUAAUGCGCUUUGACCUGCUGAAUUGGCAACUGGAAAGAUGGGGUUCUUGCUGCUUCAAAUGUUGGUUUAAUAUAGCUUAGGUUAGAAAAUUAUGUGGUUCAUUCUUGAACCACCGGCUAACUAGUUAACUGUAUGCAUAAUUGUUCAUCUGGUUCUCUUCCAAUGAACUGGUUGUGAAAUAGAACACUGGGACUUACAGCUCUGUCUCUCACUCUGGCAUUUGGUUUUGGAGAUGGUUUCUUGGAUUGGAAACUUACCCUUUUUUCAAUAUUUAUUUGGUUUGUCUUCUGGAACUGCUCUUCUACGAUAGCUUGUCUGAUCAUUCUAUGUCUGGUUAUUUGUAAUUUCUAGGGGGUUUUGUUCGUGGGUGCUCUCACUCUUUCUGAGUUCAUGUGAAUUGGGAAUUUGGCUUCAUUUUUGUAUAUUGUUGCAUUCUCAUUUGAUAAUGUUUGAUGGGCAGUGGUUAGGAUUUGGGGUUUUUCCUGAAUUUUUCUUGAAUAUUUUGCUGAACUGAAAAUGAAUAACUUGCCUAUGUUGUCCAUCCAAUGCCCUAUUGUUUCUUCCCCAUUUUAUUAUCUCUUUGCCACUUCUGCAAAUCCUUCUCUUCUGUACUUCUCAUUCUAUGUGUGUGCAUGUACUAUUCCUGCAAUAUCUCAUUCUUCACUGUGUUUCUCUCUUUUGCAACAGGAAAUCUCAGCUGCUGCAAAUGUUCCUCAGAAAGAGAUUGGCAAAUACAUCAAAAUUCUUGGCGAUGCUCUGAAAUUAAGCCAACCCAUCAACAGCAACUCCAUAUCAGUGCACAUGCCCAGAUUUUGCUCUCUCCUGCAACUCAACAAGUCUACCCAGGUGCACUACUAUCCUCCAAAUUAUCUUCAAAGCUGAAUUUAUGUAUUCUUUUGUGUCUCUACCUUAUCUUCUGGUCAUUCUGGUCACUCUUAAAAGCUUAAGAUAAUUGUCAAGAUAUUUCUUAAGAUAUAUAGGACUCCGCAAUUCUACCCAUAUUACUCACUAGAUCAACUUUUCUUUUCUUUUUUUGAUUUUCUUUUCUUUUUUUGAUAAUUACUCAUGUUAUCAAAUUCCUACCAAAACCCAUGCUUUCCAUUUUUUUUUCAAGUCAUGCUUUCCUGCAAGUUUUAAUCUAGUCUUUUUUUUUUUAAAGUCAUGCUUGCCUCCAAGUUUUAAUCUAAUCUUACUCCAGCUCUUAAUUUAACAAUAAAGUGUUAACUCUUUGAAAUUCAAAACCCUCCAGGAUCUUGCCACCCACAUUGGUGAAGUUGUCAUAAACAAAUGCUUUUGCACCCGACGGAAUCCCAUAAGUAUCUCUGCAGCUGCCAUUUAUCUCUCUUGCCAACUCGAAGAUAAGAGAAAAACCCAAGCAGAGAUCUGCAAAGUUACAGGACUCACUGAGGUCACACUGCGCAAAGUGUACAAAGAAUUGCUCGAGAAUUGGGAUGACCUCUUGCCCCCAAAUUACACCCCUGCCGUUCCUCCUGAAAAAGCCUUUCCCAUGACUGUAAUCACCUCAAAUCGAUCCAAAUUGGAUCCCCUCGAAACCAUUUCUCCUACCACCUCACAUUUUGAAAAUCAAAAGCAGUCCGAAAUUCCCAAGCCCCCCAAAAUUCAAGAAGCCUCAGAAAAUGGCCCCUCAACAAAGGGCAAGGAAAAGGAAUCAGACCCUAAAACCAACUCUCGCUGUCCACCACCCAUUGUUCCUUAUGGCCUAAACAUUGACCCUAGAGUCUUUCAUGAAAUGGCCCAUGCCCAAGCGCCCUUUUGGCAACAGCCCCAACUUCUGUUUGGUUUGCCUGCUUUCAGGCCAGAGGGAGAGAAGAUUCAGAGGAGAGACCAAUUGGGUCAAAAGAAAAAUCGGGAUGUUGUUAUGCGUGAUGUUCAACCAGGCUCCUCACGCUCUUCGGAUUUCAAACAAAAAGUGGACAGAGAUGUUAAGAAUAUUAAUGAUAGUGAUGUGAAGAUUACCAGUGAUAGAGAUGCGAAUAUUAAUACUAGUACUAAUAGUACUGUGAGUAGUGGUAUGAGUAACGCUCAAUGGGGGACUCAAUUUUCAGGCGUACCAGGAGGUAACAUGUGGCCUGUUCAUGGGCAGCUUGUAUCGGGUGGUUAUGUUCGAUUUGUGCAGCCUCAAGCAGUUUCAGGUUUUGGUGCUCCAAUACAGGGAGUCGGGAGUGAAAAAGACGGGUCUUGUGGAGAUAGGGGAGUUGAGAGACUAAGCAUGGGUUCUUCCUCAGAUCGAAUGGAUUGUUUGCCGAUGAAGCAAGAUAAUAGUGGAGGGAGUGGGAGCACCCCAUCAGAUGGCCAUAAAGGGCGAGGUUGAUAUUCUUGCAUUAUUGGGGUUUGGCCUCUUGGUUAUCAUGGGGGUGUUAUGGGCUUCAGCACAAUGCACAAGUUAUGAGUUCCUGCUGAACUUUCCCAGAGAAAAGUAGCCCCCCAAAAGAGUGGAUCUUGUGUUAAAUGGGAUUUUAUACUGGGAAAUUAUAUGUACACACUGGGGAUACUGUGUAUGGUGUGAAAAGAAAGUUUCUCUUGCACAAUGUGUAUAUUGAAAAUAUUUUUAGAAGGAUCUUUGAAUGUCAAAAUCAGAUUUUGAGCUCCUCUGCACCUUCAUGUUUGCUAGGUAGAGAACAGUGUUACCAUUGUGCGUCAUACUUUGUCUCCAUAUAAAUCUGUAUUACUUUGGAAGAUUGAGCGACCAUGAUCUAGAAGCCUGUGUUUGUGUAUGUUGUUUUGUUCUUCUUUUCUCAGGAAAUUUAUCAGUAUGCACCUAACUUGUCAACAAUUUGAUAAUACCGGUUUUCAACUAUUCCAAUUCAUGGUAAUGUGUAUUUUGACUGGUGUUUUGAAGUUAAUUCAAAAGAUAAGAGAAAUAUUAAAUAUGAAAUAGUUGAUCUCUCACGUAUAUUUUAAUAAAAAAUAUAUUUAUACUAGAGUGAGGCCCUAAACAAUCAAAUUAAGCCACACCUCUAAAAUUCUCUAGAAGAUGUUGUUUUGAUGUCCAAAAAUCCUCAAAUCGAUCAUCUUGACCUCAAGAUUUAUGGACAAAAAAAUGGAUUUCAAGUCAAAUAGUGCUUUUUGUAAUGUAUUUUUUGGACAAUCAAUUUACAAGUGUUCAUAAUUAAAUUUUAUAAUUAGAUUUUAGAGUUAGAUUUUAUAAUUAGAUUUCAUAAUUAGAUUUUAUAAUUACAAGUGUACAUAAUUAGAUUUGAAACUGUAGAUUUUAUAAUAAGAGAUGAAAAUAAAUCUUAAUGCCAUCACAAAUACUUUCAGUACUAAAAUAGCAUCUUUCAACACUAUUUGAAGGUGCACCUUACUUUGAUUGUGUAGGGUCUCAACCUUAACAAACCAUACCCUUUUAACAAAGUUCCCUUUUAUGUCAUGGCUAAUACUUUGAACAAAGUUCCCUUUUAUGUCAUGGCUAAUGCUUUGGAUAGGUCACUUAGUUUGCAAAAUAGAGGUUAGAGUCCCACAUCUGGAGCUUGCAAACGAAUAAAGUUCCCUUUAUGUCAUGGCUAAUGCUUUGGAUAGGUCACUUGGUUUGCAAAAUAGAGGUUUGAGUCCCACAUCUGGAGCUUGCAAACCAUUGUCCCAAGCCAAGUUGACUGAGCAAUGUGAUAUAUGAUUUGCAGUGAGAAUUAACAUUGGUUAUAAUCUCUCUUGCAAGCCAAAUUAACCAAGAGAGUGACUUGGUGUUGUUUAAUAUACAAUUGCCUGAUGGAGGUUCUGUUUCUUUUUACUUGUCCUUGAGAUUACUCUAGAAACAAAGAACAUUGAUAAUUUUCACAACAAUUUAGCCAAUAGGGACUCUAUCCUACUCAUGUAACAAAAAAUGUAAAUUUAUAUUGUUCUUAUUUUUGUUAAAUAUAUAAAUUUAAUAUUAACUGACUUCAAAUAGUUGAGAUAAAACUCAAAUUAUGAUAUUCAUUAUAUAAGCCUCAAAUUUUUUGUUUAUUUACAUAAGUAUUAUCUUAUUGAAGUAUUACCUUGUCGAUCUGUACACUCCCACAUAAACGGAUCCUGAGGUUGUGAUGGACUUCCACAAAAUGAGGAGUUAUUUAACAUUCCAGGUUACACACACAUGUUAGGUUUUUGGGCUCCAUAUCAAUAUAUCCAUUGUUCCCAUACGAAUGAAUAUUGAGGUGACGAUCGCCUUUCGUAAAAUGAUGAGUUAUUUAACUUUCGUAAGUAGAUUGGGGGACGAGACCUCAACAUAACAUCCCAUCCUCCAUUCUCAUCGUUAACAUAUCAAACAAAAAAAAUGCUUGUUUUCAUGUGCUAGAGUGCUACCCUUUUUUCCCAUGUAACUCGAGUCAAGUUGGUCCAAGCACCUUGAAAGUUUAUUUAAGGUUGCAACCUUAUAUUGUAGAAAUCCGGUGGACCUAAAAAAUCUAACAAAAAAGAGUGCUCUGGAGUUAGAAAACCUUUAUCUCGACCUCAAGAUGUAUGGAUAUAAAGAAAAAAAAAAAUCAAGUUAAAAAAAUAGUGCAUCUUGUAACAAGUUAUGUGGACCGUCUAUUUUCAAGAUUUUCAAAUAUUAGAUAUGCUAAAUCUAUAUCAUUUUUAAAAUUUUCAAAUUUUUAAGUAGUGUUACAUAAAAAUUUUCAAGUCAUCAUAAGAUUUAUGAUACUGAAACCACAUCUCCAAACGUAUGCCUUACUUCAAUGGAGGCAACCUUAUAUAAACCUCAUACUUUAAGAAAAGCCCGAACAAAAAGAAAAGCGAAAAAAUCAAGAGGAAGAAGAAUCAGAACCUCGACCAGAUAAACAAGCAUCAUAUAAUGUUUAUCAGAGAAGUCAAAAGAGAAGCUGCUUGCACCAUGCGAGACUCGGAUUCGGCUUAUUUGUGCACUGACUGCAUAAAUAGUCAGGGAGCAUAGGGCAAGGUAGUGGAGCGUAUUCCAUAUUUGGUUGGAAGACUACAAUUUUUGCACUCCAUAUUGUACUUCUAUGAACCAUUUUUGACCUGAGCAAUGUUUGGCUACAUUUAUCCUAUUGAUGUUGUAAUUGUAGCUGUAGCUGUAGCUGUCGCUAUACAGCUACAUUGUGUAGCUGUCGCUAUACAACUUCAAAAAAAUGUUUGUAUUUUUAACGUGUCAAUCAAGAGUGUCAUCUGUAUAGUGUGUCAAUAAGUAAACAUGCUUAUUGUAUCUGUUUAGUAUGUCAAUAAGUAAACAUGCUUACGCCGACAGUCAAAGAACCCUUUGGUGAGGAAGAGGAGUGAUAACAACGACUCCUGGAGAAUUUGUUUGGAAUGGUGAUUUGAACCAGACCUGGCACUUUGCCAAGUCCUAGUGACUCAAGCGAGUCUGACCCUGACUAGCCAAGUUAUGAAUCACUGGUUUGGAAGAACAAACACACAUAGAAACAAAGGGACAGGCUGUAUAGCGACAGCUACCCUUACUCUCACAUACUGAUUGUGAAGAAAAUGCCCAUUGAAAAUAGCCAAGUAAUCUCCAUGCAAUAAUAGCAUCGAUCUAGAAACCUCACUUUCUACAUGCAAGAAACUCAACUCUCUUUACAUCCAAGGACUAAACGAAUGGCAUAAACACCGAAAAUGGAAAGAGCGGGUCUUGGACUUCAUCAAGCAUUAGUUUAUAAAGCUGAACAUUAACUCUAGAAAUUCAUUCACCUACUACUAAAUAUAUAUUGUAUUUGGUUUCGUGGAGACAAUAUAGUGAUGAUGUAGCUGAUACCCUGAUAGCUUUAUGCUCAAAUGAACUGGUGAGCAGGUCGGAAAGCUACUAUGUACCAUAAUUCUGGUUCUUCACUGAGUAAUCAAGAAUGGCUUUCACGACUGCUCCAUACUUCAAAGAUUUUAACCUCCCCAUGUGUCUGCAACCAUGAAAUCAGUUCAUAAAUCAGUAUAUUGAACUAUAUGAAUCGCACUGACAUCCACACCUGCAGCCACGUAUUCAGUUCAUAAAAAGCAGAAUAUAGCAUCAUAAUAUGAAUAAGUAUAUAUAUAUAUAUAUAUAUAUAUAUAUAUAUAUAUAUAUAUAUAUACGACUACUAUAUAUAAGUAUACUAGUACCUAUACGUAUAUAGUUACUAACUACUACUACUACUACUACUAGACUACCUNNNNNNNNNNNNNNNNNNNNUACACGUACGUACGUACUACCACCUACCUACACGACGACGACUACUUACUACGUAAAGUAAAUUAAGAAUUAGUAUACUAUACUAAGUAUAUAGUAAUAUAUAUAUAUAUAUAUAUAUAUAUAUAUAUAUAUAUAUAUAUAUAUGGCCACAAUAUGAAUAGAUAUCGAUAUCGAUAUGUUCAAUCAUCAUCAUCAUCAUCCAAGUCUUAUUUCAAUUAUUUGGGGUCGACUAUAUGAAUUAUAUUUUUCCAUUCUUCUCAAUCAAGGAUAAUACUCUCACUAAGAUCAAAAGUCACUUCUCACUACUUCUAUCCAUGUACCCUUUUGGGCCUUCUCCUUACCCUUUUAGAACCUUCCACAUUUAAUACUAACGCAAAAUAUAGCCAGAAAUUCCAACUUGCUAUCUCCUUAUAAAUUCUCUCCAACACACCACCCCGAGCCUGAAUUUCACUCUAAAUACAUGAUCUGAAACUAAUAUUAAGCAUGGUAUAGAAUGAAACAGGAACUUACACAAUCUCUGUGUAUCUCAAUCUCCAAGCGGGGAAGCCUAAAUGGCAUCGAGCAGGUCCAAAGACAAAGAGAAGAUCAGGCUCUGGUCCUCCAAAUCCUGGCAUCAUGAACACAGUGAAACCAGUAACAUGUCAAAAGAGAAUCACUUCAUCAUUAACAUAAAUUAAAUAGAGCAGCUCAAAUUUUUUUUGCAGUGAGGAGAAUUGAAGGUUUGUACCUACAUUUAGAUUGAAAUUGAAGUUGUCAGAAUAAACAAAUAAAUGGGUUUUGUAAGGUGAAACUACCUUAACAUCCAUCGCAUUUUUUGGACAUGAAUUACCCCCUCUCCAUUGUAAGUCAUUUGAGGAGAGGUACUUCUAUUCAUUUACUGAGUACAGUGAUGAUAAUACUCUAAUAAUUCAAGGGCAGGUAGUUCAGCCCAAACACACAUGGUUUAUAAAAUUACUUUUGCCAGUGGCCCAGGCGAACGACAAAAACUGCCCCUCCCUUGACUGACUUGCAAUCGAGGGAAGGGUAAUUUCAUGUCCAAAAGAUGUCAUGCAUUUGGCAAGCAUUCCCAAAAUGCCUAAAUGAAUAAUAACUAAAACUUGGAAAGAGGGGUUCAGACCAGCAGCACACAAAGCCUUGCCCAAGUCAUCCUCAGUUAUGCUCAUCUCAAUUUUCUGUCCACCUGAACCAGAAUUUUCUGGAUAGGUAGACAACAAAUAAUUUCCUGCUUUGGCGACUGCUUCCUUUGAGUCAGAGAAGGACAGGAUUUCCAAAGUCAUGACCUUCUUAUCCAAAAACGCAGCUGCCUUUUCUGCCUCCUGCCCAAGAGAUUAUUUGAGUCACAGAUUUAUCCUCUUUUUUGUCGUAUUGACAUUUGUUUGGAUAUAUGAAGGCCAAAAAAUGGUUUGUUUCAGAAUGAGAACAAUACCUGCCAUGCCUUUAUACUUAGAUCGCGCAAGUUCUGUGAAAGGAAUUUCUUAGACUCCUUCAAUACUCCUGAAUCACAAGAAGUGAUAACCAAAAGGCAUUAAGACCACUAGAAAACCAACAUUUCCCUAGUUUAGCAAAAUAAAUAAUAUCCAUAUCAAGGUUCGCAUCAUUUUUAUUGAUAUUGACCAGUUUGUAGGAAAGAAUGUGCGCAGGGGAUAAACUUUAUUUUGCCACGGGUGCUAAUAUACAAGGAGGCCCACAGGCCAAACACUUUGGUGUAAGCAGGUCAGGGCAGGUCAGGGGCAGGCCCAACCCGACAAUGUAUGAUAACCAAUAGAGCAGGCAGUAAACUUUUGCUAACCAACUGAUACAUUUGUUCUUACCAUCCAUAUCAUAAAGAGUAACAUGGUGCACACCAAUGUAUGAUAACCAAUAGAGCAGGCGGUAAACUUUUGUUAAUUGGGUUGCUUCUUCACUUUCUAUCACAAUUGCCAUGUGCUGCAGUUUCCGCAAAUCUAUAGAUUUGUACUUCUUCAGCAGUCCAGUUAAGAUAACAUAGUGUUGUAGCUUGUUCGCCAUUCGGAUGGCAAAAUGAAUAACAGAGACUAUGAGAUGGAUCAAGUUCCAUAAUACAGAAAGUAUAAUCCUCAAUACUCCAUACCUUUCCAGAACCUGCACAUCAUGCACAUCAGAUAAACCCAAAGGAGUUGUUAAACAGCUCAGUGUAAAUCUAGCAAUACCAUCCCCCCCCUCCCUCAAUGUAAUAAGAUGGCCUCAAGUUAAACAGACAUUCGUUAAAGAAAAUGUGAAAUUGCAGACAGGAUCUUCCCAAUUUAGUUCUCCACUUGGAAUUAAAAAGAAUGACCACAUAGCCCGAAUAAAUAGGUCUAAGCAGAACCUCUAACAAAGGUUUCAUGUUUCAGAAAACAACACAACUUUCUGACUUAAAUUCACACUAUAAAAGACAUUAAAUAGAACUUCAGUUUAUAACAGAAAUUGACAUUUGGAACCUAAAAAUAUGAAACUGAAUCAACAUUUCCAUAAAAAAAGAUGGAAUAUGGAUGUCAAUUGUCAAUUUUGAUAUCAUACAAAAAGGACAAACUAAGUUCAGCUGAUAUUUGCCAAAAGCACAAAAAAACAAUGGAACAAUUAAUAGCAUGAUCUAGAGAAGAAUAAACAAAGAGAGAGAGAGAGAGAGAGAGAGAGAGAGAGUAGUUNNNNNNNNNNNNNNNNNNNNNNNNNNNNNNNNNNNNNNNNNNNNNNNNNNNNNNNNNNNNNNNNNNNNNNNNNNNNNNNNNNNNNNNNNNNNNNNNNNNNNNNNNNNNNNNNNNNNNNNNNNNNNNNNNNNNNNNNNNNNNNNNNNNNNNNNNNNNNNNNNNNNNNNNNNNNNNNNNNNNNNNNNNNNNNNNNNNNNNNNNNNNNNNNNNNNNNNNNNNNNNNNNNNNNNNNNNNNNNNNNNNNNNNNNNNNNNNNNNNNNNNNNNNNNNNNNNNNNNNNNNNNNNNNNNNNNNNNNNNNNNNNNNNNNNNNNNNNNNNNNNNNNNNNNNNNNNNNNNNNNNNNNNNNNNNNNNNNNNNNNNNNNNNNNNNNNNNNNNNNNNNNNNNNNNNNNNNNNNNNNNNNNNNNNNNNNNNNNNNNNNNNNNNNNNNNGAAGAAGAAGAGAGAGAGAGAGAGAGAGAGAGAGAGAGAGUUGGAUUACUAAGUAUAGAGAACACAUAUUUUUUUAAAAAGAACUGAAAAGCAACAUCAAAUGGUCAUUCCACCAGCCUAGAGAACAUUAUCUUUGAAUAAAAAAAUUCUUGAAAUUUCUUAGAAUCAGUGGGAAUGUAAUCCUAAAGGAAAUAGCUUUAAGCUAUUUGUCCAACUAAAAGGAAAUGGAAUCCAAUUCCUAUUCAAGAAUCAGGAUAUGGCACCUUGACAUGUUUCUAGACUAGAGAGGACUGAGCUGGGACAUAAUGGUUAAACUACAACAGUGUAUUGCAACAGUCAUUUUUCUUUUCUCAAGUUACAAAUUGUACAUGCAAUUUUUCUCCUUCUAACCCAUAGCAUCCAACACAGCCACUUCCCAUUUGUUACUUGUCUUGGAGAUAAAACCUAGAACACAUCCAAUGGAGGUUUCACAACAAGACUGUAAACGUACAUUCUAGGGUUUUGAGCUUUUGGGAGAUGAUAAGCGGUGAAAAACCUCUCCAAUGACCCUAACAAAGAGGCACCAGUCAGAUUGAUACUUGCUGGUCGGGAGUCCAAGUGAUGCUAAUAAAUAUCAAGCAUGAAAACCUUUCCAAAUCAUCAAACGGUCACUCCAACUGUCUAGCAAAGCAGAUAUUUUAACAGAAACCCCUUCAUUGUUUAUUAGUACAAGAUUGAUUUUCAAUUGACCAUGAUUCCACCUCGAUUAUUUGCAAACCAUCAAACUGAUCCAUCUAAAGCUAUCAUGGACUCCCUUUUUAACAUGCUGUAAAUUUAUCAUGGCUUUAUCUGGAUGAUAAGUCUUAUCAAGAUUGAUGGCAUCUGAAGGUUGAGGCAUCAGUAAGUAGCACUAGUACAGAAUCCUCUUUUAAUUCUGGAUGCCAUCUCACUAGCUUCUAAUGAUACAUGUACCCAAAAAAACAAAAGCUUUUAGUGAUACUGAUUGGACAUCCAUGAUUAUACUGCCUGCUUUGAGCAUAUCUUCUUAGCAAAAAGUUUAUAUAAGGAUGCUACCUUAUAAUGUAGAACUAUGGAUGCCCCUCAAAAAUCCAUCGGAAAAAACCCUUUGAUUGAGAUCAUCUCGACAUCGAGAUGUAUGACUAUGAAAAAUAAAAAGAUUUUAAGUCUCAGAAAUAGUGGAUUUUACAACACAUUAUCUACACCGUCCCUUUUCAAGAUUUUCACACGUUUAUAGAUCUACUUGAUUUUAACCAUAUNNNNNNNNNNNNNNNNNNNNNNNNNNNNNNNNNNNNNNNNNNNNNNNNNNNNNNNNNNNNNNNNNNNNNNNNNNNNNNNNNNNNNNNNNNNNNNNNNNNNNNNNNNNNNNNNNNNNNNNNNNNNNNNNNNNNNNNNNNNNNNNNNNNNNNNNNNNNNNNNNNNNNNNNNNNNNNNNNNNNNNNNNNNNNNNNNNNNNNNNNNNNNNNNNNNNNNNNNNNNNNNNNNNNNNNNNNNNNNNNNNNNNNNNNNNNNNNNNNNNNNNNNNNNNNNNNNNNNNNNNNNNNNNNNNNNNNNNNNNNNNNNNNNNNNNNNUGCACCUUACCUCUACACCUACGGAUGCAUCCGUAUGCAAACUGCACCCAUCUUCUUAAUUGGUGAAUUUGAAUGGAUAAAAACCUCCACCAGUAAUGGCUACAGAAAACUACCACAUCGGCUUCUAGAAGUCCUCUUAACCCACUAAACAGGGGAUUUCAUUACAAAGUUUCCUAUACGACAAGGAACAAACUCCUUUUACCAUGACCGGACCUACAUGGAACAAACUUUUUAUAUCAAAUUGCUGGACUGUGGGACCUAUUGACUUAUGGUGAUGCAAUAAUGAAAUUAGACAGCUAAAGGUUUAAGAUGAUUAACCUUGUCAUAGAAAUUAAUUGUUUAAGACCUGCAUAUACGUAAAUAAUACCUAUUUAUGUACAAUCAAGGAAUCCAUCCAUCAACCAGAUAAAGUCGGAUCUCGAAGUCCACAUUUGGAGGGGUUCAUAGGGCAGUGUACUAGAGCAACUUAAUCUUAGUAUUCAAAUUCAAUUUUAAAAAGCUGUACUUUCCCCAUUUACAAUAUUGAAGAACAAGAUCAUAAUUGUUGCAAAUAUUUGAAAUGCAAUUGUGGGGCUAAAACAAAAGAGAAUCAAUUAGAUCGUUUUAGUGACUUACUAGGACAGGUGAUAUCCUCUGCACAAAAGGAACAUUGUUAAGGACUUCAGCUCUACAAAAUGCAAUGAAGAAACAAGAUAAAUGACAAAAAUAAAAUCAUUGACAAAUAGAGAAAAAGGACUCUUCAAAUUUCAUGCUCAAGAACCAGCACCCCAUAAUGUAAAAGAACUCAUAAUAACAAUAUACUCUACAAUAAUGAUUAGAUAUCAGAUAACAGGUUAUAAAUAUGUCUGUUUUGAAGCAUGAACAAGAACAAAUAUGCAAACUAAAAUUAGUUAAUUCUGGAAAGAAAUAAAUAAAUCCCCAACUACUCAUGUAAACAUGCAAGGUACCAAAUUGGGAAGGCACACCAAAUUAAAUUAGAAUAAUGCCAGGCAUCAGUUUUGUUGCAUAAAAUUAAGGUGUUACAUCUGCUUCUUUUUUCUUUCUUUUUUUAAUUUUUCAUCUGGUGUUUUUAAGACUACCCCUAAAGUUUGGGAUUAAACAAAUCCCAUUUGGAUUGUUUUCACAAGGGUGUCAAAUGGAAAAAUGAGUAUAUGUAUAUGCAAAUUUAUACAUGCGUAUAUGUGUGUGUGUCUAGAGAGAGAGAGAGAGGGGACCAUUGCUAUUUCAUGUGUAGCCACUCUAUGACUUCCAGCUUUCUUUCUCCACAACAAGGCACGAGUAAAUGAUCUUCUGAAUCUAUCUAGAAGUAGUUCAGUAUGUGACAUACAAUAUUUGCACUCAGUGACCCCAUGACCGGAUGCAUUUCACAUCCCUAUCAAUAGUUCAACCAUAGCUUCAUCGUACUGAUUAAGUUUCAUAAAUACUUUAUUUUUACAAUCUAAAAAACCAAUUAAUUUUUGUGUUUGCAGUAGGCAAAUAUUUCAAAAUAUCAGCAUCUAAACAAAAAAGAUGGAAUAUUUAGUAGCCCAAGUAGCUAAUGUAUAAAGAGAAAACUUUGUAGGUUUAGUUUAACUUUUUUUUCUUUUCCUUUGAUAAUUAGCUCUAUAAUUCAUCUGUACUCUCCUUUACUUCCCUGUUUAGCCUUUUUUUUUUUUUGCCUGAUGAGUCUCCCCUGUUUAGCUCUUAUCGGAGUUCUUUAUGAUCAAAUACAAAAAGAAGACAUGGGGUAUACCAUUUAUUGCAACAAAAGCAUUUUAACUAAAAUUUAUUUAUUCUUAGGCAAAGUCAAAAUAUGAAGAUAAAAUUUAUACGAAGCUAUAAAACAUAAACAAAAUUCAAUUCAUACAAUAAAGUGAAGUAAUGUUAAACUGAACAGUAGACACCUUCAUAUGACAAGCUAAAGAAAGGCUAACCACUAUGGUUAAUCCUAUGAAGUUUAUGGCUACUAUACGCAGGCUUUAAUUUCCAUCCUACCAAUGAGACGUUAUAUAAAAAAAACAUAUUCUAAUUUUUUUUAUAUUUACAUGUUCUUUAUAUUUGACAAUACAAUUGCUGGAUAUCAAAUGAAAAUCAUCAUUCAAGAGUUAAAAGUAAAUAAAUAAAAAAUAAAAUCUAAUCUCUCUUUUUUCUUUUUUUCUCUUUCUUUUUUUUUUUUUAUUGAAGAUACAACCAUCAUCAUCACCGUGGCAAAUAAUGAAAUCACACAACAACAAAUGAGAGGAAAGACUGCCUAAGAAAGGCAAACUAUUUACACGUGGGAGUGAGUUCAGGGUUGGCUAUGGUGAAGCCAGGUGGGGUCAGCUGCUUCUCGUGGUCUUGUCAAGUUGUUGGGUUUUGAACAACACAUAAGGCUCCAUCCUUGGAAACAAAAGACUCAAAACUCCUCCAAAACCUUAGCAAUCUGCCAAGCUUCAGGCCUCUUCUCCAGAAGCAAGGACCAGCACAGCUUGAUCCAAACUCGUAUAGGAGAGGGACACCCUAAAGGAAUAGCUGCCCUCAAGUUCUUGUUUACUACUGCCGAGUCUGCCUGAAUGGGAUCAUAUCCUCAUAAGGGAUGAUCCCAGCUGCCAUCUCCCAUAACACAAGCUCAAGGCUAUGAAUACCAACCUUUUCGCCAUAAACCUUCCAUUUAAUCAGCUUGCUUGUCAUCAUUGAUAGUUUGUGUGUCUUCUAAUAGAAAGUCACAAUGCUUCCCUUCACAAUUUAUUGCAAAAUCCACAAUCUAUUUUUUUUGAGGAAUAUGUUGACUUUUUAUAUAUGUAAUAAAGAAUUACAAAAGCUAGAUCUUACAAAAAACAGCAUCCCACAAGUUGGGUGCCCUUACAUCGAACAAAAGAAAAUAAAAGGAAAUAAAUAAAAAGAAAGUAAAAAAACCACAAUAGACAUAUAGAUACUACAGAAAGGGAUGCUCCUGUAGGUGUGAGGGCAAUGCUUGAGGAUCCUGGUGGACGAUGUAGUUUGCAACGACCAAAACAUAGUAGGAAUUGUGUUUUGUAUUGAAACUGUUCCUAUGUGCUGAGUAUUUCCUUAUCAGUCUUCAAAUUUGUUCACCAAACUUCACGAUGAUGAGGCAAACCACCGUUAAGUGAUACUACAGGGGAAGUUGGGAAGAUGAAAAAGUUGGCUUGUCCCUGUUAACAGCUUUCUACUGCUGCUAAAGACCUGUGCUCUAUAAGCGGAAGCAGUGUUUCAUAAACCGCUCGGCGGGUCCUAAGCAGCCUGGGGGUUUUAGGCCCCCCCAGCACCUAGGCGGGCCCCCAGAACCUGGGCAGCCCAGUUGAACCAAAAAAGGUAUCUACAGUUAUAUAUUGAAUAAAAUAUAUGAACUAGGUAUUUAGGACACAUCAGAAUUUAAAGUAUAUUACACAUUAGCACACACUCCAUAAGCAUAACCAUAAGUCAGUCCAUAAUCCAUAUCCAAUUAAAACUAAAAAUUUAUCAACCAAUCAAAUUACCAAACCAAAGUUAACACUUACUUUGGGUUUGAUUGCUCAAUCUCCAAACUUCCACCUCAAAGAUGCUUCUAAGGAUUCAAAAUCUUCUAAAACACCCCCCAAUAGUUUUAUAGAACAUCAAAAAGUAAAUAUAAUAUCAAUGGGUGAAGUUUUUUUGAUCAAUUUCUCAUAACUUUGAGAAACCUUCGAUCCUAACGAAAUCACCAAAAGACUAGUUUUUGGGGGCGUUCUCUCUCUAAAAUCGGCUCCAAUAAGUUUUCGGUUUCAAAUGGACCUAAAACCCCCUUUUGGCCCUUUAGUAUAAAAAAAAUAGACAAAAAAUGCCCCCACCGAAAGCAAUUUCCGCCUCUAGGCAGGACGCUGGACCUGGGGCGACCGCCUAGGGGUUUUCCUCGGCGCCCAGCGACCACCGCUUUUUUUGGGUGCCUAGGCCUGGGCGAUGUGCCCGGGCCCCAAGAUCCGCCUUCGCGGCGGCCCAGGCGUUGGGCGAUCCGCUAUUUGGAACACUGAACGGAAGCUUCUUGUGUAACCUCAAGGCUAAGGGCAACACCGAGAUGGUAGAGUAAAAAAUGGAGGGAAGAGGGAAGAGAGCUAAGUUCACACAAGUUACAACCGUAAAGUACCCCAGAGCGUAAGUAGAGAGGGUGAAAGAAGAGGUAGGUAAGAGAGGAGAGGUAUAAGUGUGAGGUAGAUAGAGAGUAAGAUAGGGAUUGAAUAAAAGUAAUGAGGUGAGGAAGAGCCGAAGGGAAUCUGAGAAAUGAGUAAAGAGAGGGAUAGAUGUUAGAAACAUGAGAGAAGAGCGGGAGAUUAAAGAGAUGGAAAAUGAGUAGAUAGAAAGGAGGUAAAGAGAUAGAAAAAGGGGGAGGAAAGUGAGUAGAUAGAAUGGACAAAAUAAGAUAGAGAAUGGGAUAGGGAAAGAUGGGUGGAAACAAAAGAAGAAGGGAGGGGGAAAGAAGUGAAGAGAGCAGGAAGCGAGAGAAUGAAAAAGAAUAAACGCGGAAACAAAAUUACUGAUCCACCCCCCCCCCCCACCCCCUUUUUAACUUUUUUUUUCCUUUACUUCUCUUUUAUUUUUUGUCUUUUUUUUUUUCCUUUUUCUUUUUCCUUAACCAGAAAACAGAAGGUGGAGGAGGAGGAGAAGAAAAAACAGGAGAGGAGAGAGAGGAUUAGAGGGUAGAGAGAGAGAGAGCGAUAAAAAUUUUCAAAAAGGAGGCUAUGUACCUGCUGCGCCCAUGGCUGCACCUUCCUUGGCCAAACGAUCCGCCACUGCAUUGGCCUCUCGGUAAAUGAGUGUAUGUCGAACUUGGGUGAGGGUUCUGCAGAUGCAACAACCUUGCUAAAAAACAGAGCUAAGUCUCCAUGGGGUCUCCUUGAGGUCAGACGCCCAAAAAAUAGUAUUCUUGGAGUCAAAUUCUACUAUUAACCCAUUUGAACUGUCAUCCAUAUAAGCCACCUUUUUUAGUCCUAAUAAUGCAUGGGCCUCUGCUUCAGUGGAGUCUAGUAUCCCAAUGUACUCCGAGAAGGUCCAUAGGGUUAAGUCUGAGUUGGAGAGAAUCCCUUAGACGCCAGAGGGACCCGGUUUCCUAAGGAAGAGUCGUCUAUGUUCAAUUUAGAAAACCAAGGGGUGGAGGUGACCAAAGGGGCCGUGGUCUGUGUGAGGGGGUUGAAAGGUUAAGUAAGCUGCUCCAGUUAUGCAGAAAAUGGGAAAUUGGGAUAUUUGCAAAGAGGUAUGUUUUUGGCCCAGAAGGACAUAAGGGAAGAGAUUGUAUGAAAGAUAGACUUUUGGGAUUUAAGAAUACCUCUAAAAGUUCUGGAGUUUCUCUCUAUCCGCAAGCUCCAAAGUAGAGCAGCUAUAGCAUGACACCACAGUUGUUUCCCAGGGGAGGAGAAAGGGGGUGAAUACAGAGACUCAAAGAGGAUAUUCAGAGAUGGAGGGUGACCCAUUGAAGACAAAAAAGCUUCAGGAGAGAUGACCAGAGCCCAAAAGAACUUUCACAGUGGAUGAAUAAGUGUGGAAUGGUCUCUUCUUCUAGGUGACAAAGAAUACAUCUAUAAGGGAAAGAAACUCCACACCGUAGCAAUUGAUCUAGGGUAAGGGUCUUCCCGUGAAGGAGAACCAAAAUGAAGGCUUGGACUUUAUGGGGUAUAAGAAGGGACCAUGACUUGUUAAUCAAGGGUUGGAAGGUGGGGUUCUUAAGCAAAGAGUUGUAGGAGGAGGACACUGAGAAGCUGCCCAAGGGGAAUUCUGACCAAAUAAGGGCAUCUUGACGGUUAAGAGCACUGAAGACGGGGUGCAGUAGUUGGAGUAAGGAGGUCAGGGAGGUAGUUUCCUGCUCUGAGAGAUUUCUACAAAAAAUAGGUGUCCAAAUUAGAUUGAACACACCUAGCUCAACAUAUUGAGCUAUAAAAGCUGAUUGGUUGGAAGCCAAAGAGUAAAGAGAGGGAUAGGAAAUGUUGAAAGGGGUGUGACCUAUCCAAAGGUCAGUCCAAAACUUAAUUCGGUGACCAUCGCCUAGUUUGAAUGUAGUUCGACUCAAGAAAGCAUUCUUUGUGAAUGAAAUGCUUUUCCAAGAACCGGAUGACCCUUGUGGUGGAGUUCUAGGCAACCAGUCUGCAGUACCCAUUCCAUAUUUGUCCCUGAUGACCUGCUUCCAUAAUAGUGGGAGAGGAAAAUUUCACUUCCCUAAAAGUGCAAGGUUCAUAGUUCUAAGGUUUUUUAUAUCCAAACCCCCAAAUUUUUUUGGAAUGCAGACCAUAUCCCAAGCAAUUAAAUGAUAGUUUUUGGAACCUUCUAGUCCAGACCAUAAGAAAUCCCUCAUUAAUUUUUCGAGUUUGCGAAUGACCGAAAUAGGAAUUUGAAAGAGUGACAUAUAGUAAAUAGGAAUGCUAGCAAGUGUGGCUCUAAUAAGCGUGAUUCUACCCCCAAAAGAUAGGAAUCGCCCUUUCCAGGAGGCAAACUUCCAUGUGAAUUUCUCAAUCAGGUGAUUCCAAAGGUGCUUCCUAGGUUUACCUAAGCACAAAGGAAGGCCCAGAUAAGAGGAUGGGAGGGUUUCUAUAGCACAUCCUAGCUUCUGGGCUAGACUCUCCAAUUCUGCAUUUUGGACCAGAAUGCCUAUCAUUUUUUGUUUUGGUGAGAUUUAUUUUCAUCCCUGUGAGAAGCUCAAAGGUUAUGAGAAAUCACCAAAGGCAGUCUUCAAACCCAUAUCCUCAACAAAAAGCAUUUUCUCAGGCUUAAGGUCUCUUUGAAUAACCCCUUGAGAGUACGCUUAUUCCAUUUACCAUGCAAUAUCUAAGAAGAUCUUUAUUAUUUUCUCAAGAAUGUGAGAGCUGCCAUAAGUUUGUGGAGGAAUGAUUUCGGUGCACCUCCCUAUAGGUAUUUGGUGAUGACACAGCAGACCACUCCAACUGUAUCACACUUGGGUGGUGGAGGCAAGAGAGAGAAGUAACCUAUCUGUUGAACUGCUUAAGCCAAAACUCCAUUUUCAUUAUCAUCACGCCGUGCAAUCACCUUCACAACAGCAGUUUGAUCCUUGUAAUGCAAUUGUCAGUUCAAUGUGACCCCAAGCUGCAAACCAUGACCCUACAAACAACUUUGAUAAAUCCACCAUCCAUUUCUUGAGCAGUCUCCACCUGUAACUCUCCCACCUCCAUGCUCAAAGUAUAUAGCCCACAGUCCAGCUUUCAAUUCUUGGAUUCCUUCUCAUCGAUUAGUGGAUGGCCAUGACAGGAUAGGACAACUCAUAGGAGACAAAGGAUGGUAGAAACCAGUUUCAAUGACUCUUAGCUGCUGCUUCUUUUCUCUUAGGGCCAGGAGUUGAAGAUCUUAAUUUAUUAUCACAUUUUGCUUCCUGAAGGCAUCAGAAAGAAUGGUCUGAGGUAUAGGGGAGAGAGAUCUAGUCUUAUUCUUCCAAUGGUGCACAAAAUAGAUCAGGUUUCACAAUUGGGAGAGAUGAAACCCUAGAAGCAUCCAAUCUAUGACACACAUUAUGCGAGUAUUUCACCCCCUACCCAAGAGCUGGUUUCUUCAACCAACUUGUAAAAGCACUAAGCUAACAAUAAAAAUGCUGGAAAGCACCAGUUUAGCAAAUAAGAUAUCAAAAAGAAUCAGAAAUGCCCAAGAAACCUGAAAAUGGAAAAACAUAAUUCACCUAGAGCUAACCAUAGGAAAUCCAUUCAGUGUCAGGAAACUUGAAACUCAGAAAAGGAAAACCAAUUUCUUUUAAGCCUUAUAAAAGGGAUUGAAUUCCAGUUUCUUUCAAGUCUUAUAAAAAGGAAAUCAGUUUUUAAAUACUCCCUACCCAAGAGCUGUUUUCUUCAACCAACUUGUAAAAGCACUAAGCUAACAAUAAAAACCAUCGAAAGCACCAGUUUUAGCUAAUAAGAUAUCAAAAAGAAUCAGAAAUGCUCAAGAACCCUGAAAUCACAUUAAGAAAAUGCUAAUUCCACCUAAACAAAACUCAUUGCCCGUCCUAUCCAAAAACCCAUCAAAAAAAUUAAAAAAACCAGACUAUAAACCCAAUUUCACUUCCAUUGAACCAUUAGGAAAUCUAAAUCUCAUAGUCAUGGAACCAUUCAAACCCUAUAAACCCACCCAUAACCAAAAGGAAAUGUGAAAAUAUCAUAAAAAUAAUUCCAAAUGGCAAAAUCUUAAACAAGGAAAAAGAAAAUUAAAAAAAAAAAAAAUACAACAAUAUUUUAUCUGAUAAUCAAGUGUAUAAUCAAUCAUUUUUGCAACAAACAAAAAGAGAAAAAGAAAAAGAUCCAGAACCAUGAUGACUCCACCGCAAAAACUAAAACUACCCACAAUUGACUCAGCAUCUAAAACCCUACACACACACACACACACACACACACUCGCAUGCACACACAGAAACACAGAGAAAGAGAGAGAGAGAGAGAGAGAGAGAUUAAUCUGAUAUUAACCUGAAAUUAAUUGACCCAUAAACACUUUAAACUAAAGCCUUUCUCAACAAAUAUCAUAUCUGAAAGAGAAAGGUAGGGCCAAAUUUACCCCACUGCAACUAUAUGUGAAAUCCGGCUUUUAUGCCAUAUAAAUAUAAAAAUCCAAGCUUUCUGAUCUUUGUACAAACUUUUAAAAUCAUGUAGUCCACAAAUGCAAUUCCAGUAAAACAUGGAUCAAAAUACAUCAUUCAUGCAUAAUUAUAUAAAAAAAAUACAUCAUUCAUGCAUAUUUAUCCACUUCUGCAACUACAAACUCUCCAAGCAAUCCAUCAUAUUGCCAAGAAAUCAACAGAUAAUAUUAAUAGUAAAUAAAAAGACAAAUUCACAUUCUCAUCUACAAACUUUCAGAGUAUUAAACUCAGCAAUUAGUUUUACAAGUGUCAUGAUAACAAUGUCAAAUAUAAACAAAUUGAUAUAAGAAAUUCAGAUUAUGAAACCAGCUAACUAGUUCCUCCAAGUACAUGAUACCAAUUUGAUGCCAAAUUACAGUGUUGCAGAAACGCACAUAUAAGAAAGAACAGCCUCAAUCAAAAUCCAUUAAAAAAAAAAACCCAACUGGAAUUAACAACUCCAUACCUCUCCAUUGCUUCUUCGAAAAUCGAAACCACUCGGAGACCUCCCCUUCGUGCAAGAACACUACUCAGAGAGCAACCCAAAGAGUCCUUUUACUGUGGAAGUUUCAAAAAGGCAAGAAAUACCCACACCCAAAAAUCAAAAAUCACAGAGAAAAAUCAUUGGGAACCCUCAAGACAAGGAGAAGAUAAACCAGCAAUAAAAGGGAAAGAAGCUAUGGUUCAUGAAAAAGGAUCGGAAGAGUUUAAUGUGAGGUGUAGAGAAGAUAAUCACAGGAUGGCUAAAGCAUAGCCAUAAAGUCAGUUUUUUUCACAAAUGCAAUAAAAAGGUAGACUUUUUAUGGCAGAAACCCACUUCUGAUAGCACAAUCUAGAGAAAUAGAAAGAGAGAGAGAGAGAGAGAGAGAGAGUACGUUCCUUACUUACUACUAGUAACGUAGUAAGUAAGUAAAGUAACGUUUACGUUAGUAGUUAAAGUUAAAGAAAGGUUAAAGGUAGAGUAAGUAAGAAAGAAAACGAAGAGAGAGAGAGAGAGAGUGCUUCAGCCCUUUUUUUAUUCAGCUAUACGGACGGUGCAGAUUCUUUAUAUGCUACCCGACAAAUAAAACCUAAAGAACUGGGAGCCCCUCAUCUCACCCAAAUCACCACUCUCUCUCUUCUCUCUCUAAAUUUUCCAACGCAAAAGGGCUUAAAACGCCUCCUGCAAAACCAGAGACCCAGGCCAAAUGGAAAAGGUCCUAUUUUUUAUUUUUUUGACGGUUAAAAAAGGCCCUAAUUCAUAGAAAACACAAUGCUGCUCACAAGGGUCAUUAAGGACCAUCCCACAACUCGAAUCCCAAUCGUAGAUGAAAGAAACUAUUGCCCCCAAUCCUUGCUGAAGUUCCAAAAUAGAGGACUUUAAAAUCCCAGAAAGGUAUGAGUUCUAGAGAGAGAAACUUAAAAUUUGCACAAUUGAAAUUUGAGAGAGAAACUUGAAAUUUUCAGAAUUGAAAUUUGAGAGAGAAACUUGAAAUUUCCGAAGAGUACGAGCCCUAUCAACUGUUUGAUUCUUUGUGAGAGAAAAACACUUUAUAUUUUCGAGAGGUAUUGAGAUUAUUUCUGUAGAAUUGCAGUGAGUCAAAUGCAGGGAAACAGAAAGCACAGAAUUGUCUUUACCUCCAGCAACAACUGCUCCAAUGAUUCUAGAAUCCAGCUUAAGGAUGCAGGAUUAUUGCCUACUGAUUCUGAGAUCAUGCUUUGGGAUUCUUUCAUUGAAAACCACGUGCUUUUACAUGCUCUUUUUGCUAGAAUGAAUUAUCAGAAUUGCUGCUUGUUUUUUUCUUGUAAUAUUGGCAAAUGCUGAUCAUUCGUAUGAGAGAAAAAAAAAAAAUUGAUCUGCACUGUAAUUAAGUGGGGAAGACAAGCCCCUGCCUGUUUUUUCUAAGUAGAUUAGGAGUUAACUUUUUGAAAGUGUUAAUGGGGUGGUGGAAAUGAAAACCACCACCACAACUCUAACCCUUUUCCGAGGAAAUGACCAUUUCCAUCUAAUAUCCGCUUGAACCAUUCAGAUAAUUUUCAGAAAACUAUUAAAGUUCUUUGGCCGCAUGGAUUGAUAUCCCUCUACCAAAAUAUUCAAUAUAGAGAUUGUAUAUUAAAAGACCAUUUAUUGCUUACAAGAAAGUCAUAAUCAAAAGGCCAAAAUCAUGUUUUAAAUUUGAAAUUAGCAUGCUAGGUUUCUACCUAUAAAAAUUAUUCUAAGUUGAAUAGUAUAUCUCCAAUUAUCAAAUUUCACAUCUAACAGUCAUAAGUAAUUGUGACAUUUUUUUACCAAAAACAAACACCAUUCUUAUUUGUAUUUUCCUUCUAACCUAUCCUCAUUUUUUGUAUUGUAGGUAUUAUAAAAAUUAGGUUUUGGUUUCUUCCAUUACUGGUUAAGGUGUAGGUAUUAUAAAAAUUAGGUUUUGGUUUCUUCCAUUAGUGGUUAAGGUGUAGGUAUUAUAAAAAUUAGGUUUUGGUUUCUUCCAUUAGUGGUUAAGGUGUAGGUAUUAUAAAAAUUAGGUUUUGGUUUCUUCCAUCAGUGGUUAAGGUGUGAAGGUGCAAGGACCAACUCCAACCUCAAAUUUUAGAUUCAACAAGUUUCAACUUAUGACUUCCUUAACAAAAAUUUUAAUUUUUGGCUCAUAAUAAUCCUCUCUUUAUAAACCUCUUUGGAAAUUAACUAUCUCUAUUACCCUCAAAGCUUUGAUUAACAUAAAAAUUUUUGAGGUCCACAAUACUGUCUCACACUCAAAAACUCUUCUCUUUCUUCCUCUCUCACUCUAAGUUUUCUCUCUAAUAAAACACAAAAGUUUGUCUCCUUAAAAAAAAAUUUCUCUCUCUAAAAAAGCACAAAGGGGAGCCUAUACAUGACUGGUGCAUGUUUCAAGAAGCUAAUGACCUCAGUAAUGAAGUGAUCAAUAUCUUUGUACUCGAGAGAAGACAACAAAAAAAGUCAUUUCACAUACUCACGUGUAUGGACUGAAUUGCCCCUUGGAAUCUUGAUAUGAGGCCCCCAAUAAAUUUUGGCACUUAGGAAAUGGUUAUGGUGGUGGGGUUGCUCACUUAGUCACGUUUUCAACCCUGUUUACGGCUGCCCUAAAAAAAUUAAUUCUUUAAUCUAUAUAAAAAAAAAACAGAUAGGGUCCGUUUUCCCAUUACUCAAAAAAUAGGUCCUCAAUAAGAGGCGAGUUGUGGUGGUUGUACCCACCGCAUUGUGAUUUUCAUGUUGACAUCACCCAUUUAUACCUUAAAAAAAAAAAAUUUCUUUAAUCUAUAUAUAAAAAAACAAGUAAAGGCUUAUCUUCAAUAUUGAAUUAAAACUAAAAAAAAUAAAAAAAUAAAAAAAUAAAAUUAAAAAUAAAAAUUAUAGCCCUACCAAAUAGAGAUAAUCCCAAUUAUAAAUUAUGUGGUUCCCGCUGCGGCAUCCAACUUCUGGCUUUUGUGUAUUAGUACUUGAGGACAUGUAGCAUCAAUUAUGACUUUAUUGGAAAACUUUUGGCUUUUACGUAUUAACAAUUGAAGAAUGUAGCAUUAAUUAUGACUAAAUUGGAAAACUUUUGGCUUUUGUGUAUUAAUACUCGAGGUCAUGUAGCAUUAAUUACGACUUUAUUGGAAAAUAUGGUGGAAAAUUUUAUUUAAAGCAUAUUUGAAAGGGAAGUCUUUUAUUUAAUUAAUUUUUUAUUUUUCAAGGAGCUUAUGGGUAAAUAUUUUAGAUAUUUGAAUAAAAAAAGAUUUGCUUCCAUGUUGAGGAUUGUUAGCUUCAAAGCCUAUUUCAUAGUCCCAAAUUUAAGAAUCAUCUUUUGAAGAUUAUGCAUUUUGGUUAUUUUGGCAUUGUAAUUACAAUAAAAAAAAAAGGAAAAAAAAUACAUAGAGCCAAGGCUCUAAACAAUCAAGUUUGAGCCUAUCUCAAAUAUUUCACUAGAAGACAUUGUUUUGAUACCCAGGUAUCUUCAAAUUGAUCAUCUCGACAUCAAGAUGCAUAGACAUGAGAAAAAAAUGGAUUUUUAAGUUGUGAAAAUAGUGUAUUUUAUAAUGCUUUUUUAGACCGUCAAUUUUCAAGUUUUCAUAGAUAUGUCGAUCCACACUAUUUUUGAAGCUUUAAACUUUGUAAAUAAAUAUAAAAAUAUUUUUUAAAGCUGUUAUAGAGAUUUUCAGUAUUGAAACUACAUUUCUUGAUGCUAUUUGAAAGUAGGCUCUAAUUUGAUUGUUUAGAGCCUAGGCUCUAUGCAAACCGCACCCAUAAAAAAAAAAAAAACAAAGUGGAAAUGGCAGGUGCCUCAUGCUGGUACUAUUGAAAAGCUUUCUAAAAACUUAGCCAUGAAGAAUACUUAAAAUAUUCAAUUUAGAGACUACUACUGGUAGAUUUUAUAAAUGCCAUAAUACGCAGAAGAAUGACAAUACAUUUUACUAUAAAAUAUAAGCAAAGAUAGAUGGAAAUAAAACUAAAUCAAGGAACAAAGGAAAAUCACUAAUAUAAUUUUAAUGUACUUAUCUACUGUUAGAUGGAAUUUAAAAAUUAUUUCUACAUCGUAAAACAUUAUACCAAAAUAUCAUAGUCUUGAGAACUUAAAAACUCAUUGUGAAAAAUUUGGAAAAUAAUCAUAAGCAAAUUUUAUAAUAUAGAAAAAUUGCUUAAAAUAACUUUGAUUUUUAUAUUUUCAAAAGCUAUAAAAAGAAAGAUGUUACUAAAGAUUUUUUGUAGUGUUAGAAAUUCAACAUUUAUAAAUAUAAGAUGUCGAAGACUGAUUUUCUACUAUUAUAAUAGGUACAUCAUUUUUUAUUUGAGACACUUUGAAAUUUGAAAAUUUUAAAAAAUAAAUAAAAUUGGUUUCAUUGUGUUUAAAAAAGUCUAAAAGGAGAUAAAGUUUGUUUCUUGCUUUCAGUGAAGAAAAUAUUAUUAACUUCAAAAUAUUGAAAAAAUGUAAUAAAAAAUAGGAAUUACUCAUAGAUAUUUACUCAUAGAUAUUUUGGAUACAUAAAAUUUAUAGAUAAAAAUUGGCAUGCUAGUAUAGAACAGUUAUAAUUUUCUAAUAAAAUUAUUUAAAAAGUAUGAAAUGCAUAAAUAUUUAAUUAAACAAGAGUAAAUAAAUAAUGAUAGCACUUGAAAAUUAUAAAAAAAAAAUUUCUGAAAAUAAAACUUCAUUUUUUCUAAGUAAAACUUGAAAUGAAAUUUCUUUGUAUUUAAAAUUUGGGUGCAGUUGGCAUACGGAUGCAUCCGUAGCAGUAGAGGUAAGAUGCACCUUCAAAUUUUAUCAUAGUAUAUAAUUUUGAUGUAAAAUGUUUAUCUAAUUAUAAAAUUUUAAAUUUCAAAAUGCCUAAAAUCAACUAGAUCUAUAAACAUAUGAAAAUCUUGAAAAUGGACGGUGUAGAUAAUAUGUUGUAAAAUGCACUAUUUCUAAAACUUAAAAUCUUUUUAUUUUUCAUAGUCGUACAUCUUGAUGUCGAGAUGAUCAAUCAAAGGUUUUUUCAACAUUAAAACUACCUUUCUUGAUGGAUUUUUUGAGGUGCAUCCGUAGUUCUACAUUAUAAGGUUGCGUUCCAAGGAAAAAGUUUAUAUAGAGCUGAGGCUCUAAACCAUCAAAUUGGAGCCUACCUCAAAACUUUCACUAGAAGAGUUGUUUUGAUUCCCAAAUAUCCUCAAACUAACCAUCUCGAUAUCAAGAUGCAUGAACAUGAGAAAAAAAAAAUGGAUUUCAUGUUCUGGAAAUAGUGUAUUUUGUAAUGCAUUUUGGACCGUCAAUUUUCAAGAUUUUUAAGUUUUCAUAGAUUUGUUGAUCUACACUAAUUUUGAAGCUUUAAACUUUAUAAAUAAAGAUGAAAAUAUAUUUUAAAACUAUCACAAUGAAUUUCCAUAUGGAAACCAUACUUAUCGACACUAUUUGAAGGUAGGCUCUUAUUGGUUGUUUAGGGCCUAGGCUCUAUACAAAUCGCACCCUUUUAGAAAUUAGUUUCAUAUAGUUUUAAAGUCUUAAAUUAAAUUUAAAAAUUAUUUGGUAGUAAAAAAAAAGGAAUGAAAGAUAGUUUAUGUUUAUCUAUUUUCAUAGAAAACAAUGCAUAAUUUUUAUGAAGCAUUUUAUAAAUUAUUAAAAUGUUUAUUUUUUAAAAAAAAACUAAAAUGUAUCUGACAAAAAUAAGUUAUUGGUAAUAAUAUAAAAUAAUAAAGUAAGUUUAUAUUUGAUUAAAAAUAAAAAAUACAAAGGAAAUCGAAAAAAAGAAAAUCUAAAUUACAUACAUAAAAUACAAAAAAAUUAUGAAAAACUCUAAAUAUCUACAAAGGAAAUCCAAUCUAUUUAACUUUUCAAACAUGCCUCUUAAAUUUUCGAUAAAGCCAAAAAAAAAUUAUGAUCCUAGGGAAGAAGAAAUAGUAAAUUAAUCACGGACUAAAAAAAAAAAGUCUAAAUUAUAAAAAUUUCUCCGGAAAUUUGAAUAAAAAUACCAAAGAAAUCCAUUCUAUUAGUUUUCUAAUGAUAAAAGAGUAAAAAAAAGAAAAUGAAUUUAAUUAAAAUGAUAUAUUAGAACAUCAGAUAUCUUAUUUAAAUAUUGGUUUUGCAGAGAAUGAAAAUCCAUCCUAAUUGCUCAAAUAUUUAAGUACCCAAGUUACAUGCUAUAAUGAAAUAUAAAAAAAAGAAGAUAAUAGAAGCAUGACAAAACCAACCCCUAAUAUACACAAAUACUAAUAAAAAAAAAAUUUGCUGAGAAAGAAAUGACAAAUACAUAUUGGCAACUAUGAUACCUAAUGUUAAGAUGAGAUACAAUUAAAUUAAUGUGAAGUUAGGAUGAAAAAUUAAAAAACAAAUGAAAAAAUAAUAAAACAACAUACCAAAGUGAAUUUAAAGGCUGUCAAACUUGACGUAAGGAAGAGAACACCUGCAUAGGCAUAAUGAAUAAUUAAAAAUUAGGCCAUGAUAGACUUAAUGUAAACUUUUGAAAAGAUUAUUAUUAAAUAUUAAUAACAACAAAUAAUUAUAAAAUUUAUUGUUGAAUGAUAAUGGUAAAAAAAAGACAAAAGAAUGUGAUGAGCUUGUAAGUUCUUUUUUUUUAAAUUAAUCUCUUUCCUUUUACUGCUCUCUCUCGCUUUUUUUCAUACCUCUCUUUCUCUCCCAUCUCUCUCAUCUCCCUUUAUACCCCUCUGCCCCGCUCUCUCUAUAAACCCCCUCUCCUUUCUUUCCUCUCUUUUCUUUUUCUCUCCAUAUUUUUUGAUUUUUUAAUUUUUUAAUUUAGUUAUUAGAUUAGAAAAAUAGAUUUAUUUAAGAUAAACAUUAUAGCUUCUAAAAGAAGUAUUGGAUUAUGAUAACGAAAUCCAUGAUCUCUUAGCUACAAAAGAAGUAUUGGAUUAUAAUAAAGAAAUCCAUAGAGAGUUCUAAAAUAAAACCCUAAACUCUCCCAAAAUUUUAGGAUCUCUCCCUUAACUCUCUCUCUUGGUUUUCAUUCCAUUCUUCUCUCCACUUUUCUUUCUUUUGGAAAAUUGAAAGCCAUAUAUACCCUUAAUUCUCUCUCUUCCUCUCUCAAUUUUACCCACGUACUCUUUCUGGCGCAAUCUCUCCUAAUCUUCUCGACCUUUAUCUCUCAUUCUCCUAAAUAUGGUAAGUAUAUUAUUUUUAUCCCUUAAAUAUUAAUGUCUUAUAUUAAAAUGGGUGCAGUUCGCAAACGGAUGCCUCUGUAGUUGUAGAGAUAGGGUGCAACCUUCAAAUUUUAUCAUGAUAUAUAAUUUUGAUGUAAAUUGUUCUUAGAAUUAUCUCAAAAAUUAUUUUUAUAUCUAAUUAUAAAAUUUUAAAAUUCAAAAAUGGUAAAAUCAAGUAGAUCUAUAAAUAUAUGAAAAUCUUGAAAAUGGAUAGUGUAGAUAAUAUGUUGUAAAAUGUACUAUUUCUCGGACUUCAAAUCUUUUUAUUUUUCAUGGUCAUAUAUCUCGGUGUUGAGAUGAUCAGUCAAAGGGUUUUUCAACAUUAAAACUAUCUUUUCCGAUGGAUUUUUGAGGUGCAUCCAUAGUUCUACAUCAUAAAGUUGCAUCUUUAUAUAAACUUUUUCCUAUAUUAAAAAUAAGUCUAUACUUUCACUCUCUUUCUCCUAAUUGGAGUUGCCAUAUGCAAAUUCUCUCUUUUGAACUGUUUUCCCCUUCAAAAAUAUAUAUAUACUCUUUCUCCCUUCAAAAAUAUAUACUCUCUCUCUCACUUGUCCUUUAAAGGAAGGAAUGUCUCCUACAAUUUUAAAGUUUUUUUUUUCACAACUUUUUAUUUUUGAUAGUUAAAAAAAAGUUUGGAUAAUGGUGAUGAAAAAGUGUUUUGAGGGUCCUAAAGCAUAUGUUUUAAUUGUUUUUUUUUUUUUCUUUUUGAGAUUAGUUUCUAUGUGAUGGAGGUUAUGCCUUGGAAAUUUUGGAUCCUGAAAAGACCACUCGCAUGGAGGAUGUCUUCAACAUUGGGGAUCCUAGGAAUACCACUUGGUUUUGGCCUGAGCAUGAAAUGAUUUGUGUCUGGUUUUGAAGUCUUUCACAUGCAUCAAUCACUUUUAAAUCUUUAAUACACCUUUGUGUCGUUUCCAAGGCCGACAUCAUUCACGUGAUCCAUCAGAUCAGAUCGCUAUGAUCUCAUGACCUAAGGUAGGGGCACCCUCCCCACUGAAUCACCUAAAAAAAAUAAAAGUAAAAAUCAUCACUAAAUUUUAAAAUCCCAAAAACAUUCAAGACAGGGUUUUUAUCCAAGGAAUUGUAUACUCUAAGCAAACAUAAAUUCUCUUGGAACUAUUUUAAUUGAAGGCUUUUGGACAUAUGCUCUGUGGUUUAGGCGAUGAGGGCCAUGGGCAGGUAAAUUUGGGCCGAAGCACGUUCCGGGUUGGAAAUUUGGUUUUGGCCAAGUUUAGGGCCAAGCUUUAAGCCGAAUGAUGGAUCCUGAGCUAGGCCCGUCCCAAAAAAAUUUGGGUUAGCGCCGAGAACCUUUACAUAGUAUUGGAUUACACACACACAAUACAUUUCAGGCCAAGCCUGGUACGAGUCAUGGUUGGCUUGGGCCUGGUCCAAAAAGAAUAUUAGGAGGUCCUAGCCCAGCUUAGGCUCGGCCUACCAUCCUUCUUCUAUGGCCCGAAACAGUCAAAGACUGUAAGCCUGAGGCCCAACCUGAGCCCAUUAUCAAUCCUGCAUAUAAAGGUUAACCCUCAGUAUAAUAGUUAAAACCAUGUUGAAUUCUUUUUUGUUGUUGGGAAGGUUUCUGGUGAGUCAAGGAACUUUAAGAUUGAGUACGAAAAAGAAGGUCCAACACCAAAAUUAAAAAGGAAAUGUAUAAAAUGAGACUAUUUGCUUUUUAAUAUAAAUAUGUCACGUCAAUUAGAUUUGAAAUUGAAUGGUUGAAAAUAUGUCAUUGUUUGGACGUAAAGUUCAAAAUAAAAUUUGUCGAAUGUUAUGACACACUUUCAUCUAUUGGAUUUCACUUCCAAUAGUUCAAAGAGAUAGUGACCUCUUUAUUCUAAAAAUAAAUAGUCUCAUUGUAUAUAAUCGCAAUUAAAAAAUAAUGAUGUUAAAAGUUUGUGAAAAAAAAUCAGUUCUUAGUUUAAGUUUAUUUCAUUUUUCACAUGAUCAAUAUCAUGGAUUCCAAAGAUUUGAUAUGAAAUCCAUAUUCGAGAUGCGUGCAGAUGAUACAAAGGCUGAUGCAUAGAAAAACACAUAGAAGGGCCUAUCACCAGUAACAAUAAUUUGUACUUAAAUAAAAAAAUAGAAAGGCCCAUCAACAAUAACAAUAAUUUGAACUUAAAUAAAAAAAUAGAAAGGCCCAAUGAUCAAUAACAAUACUUCAAUGGCCUCCAGUCUAUAAAUAGGAGCACCAUAAUAACAAUAAUUGAAGUAGUUCAAUGGCCUCUAGCCUAUAAAUAGGAGCACCAUGAUUCCAUGACUGUUAUAUCUGAAUUAGCAAUGGAAGUUCCUACUCUCACCACCCUCUUCUUCUUUGUAAUGCUGAUGCGCCUCUCUCUGACCUCCCUAUAGCUUGCUUCUUCUUAGAUUUUUCAUCACUUUUGUGCUAUGCUACUACUAAUUUUUAAGCCCGCAGGUAUAAGCCCGAUUUUUAGGCCCAUGAGGCUAUAAUGCCUUCAUUUAUGUGGAUUAUAUUUCAUAUAUCUUGAUAAUUCCUAUAAGCCUUGAUGCUUCCUCUUCUUUUUUUUUCCAUUCUUUUUUGUAUUUUGAGAUUUUUAUGUACGGACGGGGUUAAAUUAUCAAAUUUUGUCCUUUAGUUUAUAGAUUUGGUAAUUUUACCAUGAGGUCCAACGCCCUUUUUGUUUAUUAUAUUUUAAAAAUUAUAUCUUGAUUCAAUCUUUCAAACAUCAAACCACUUAUUUUAAUUUAUUAUUAUUAAUUUAUUUUAUUAUGACAUUUGUCGGGGGUCCGAUGUAUAUAUGUUGAACCACCCCAUUUAUAACGCAAUCCAAUAACUACAAUAUGGGACCACCCGAUAUAUUUGGCCCAUCCAUCUUUAUAAGGCAAUCCAACAACUACAACAUCAGACCACCCUAUAUUUUUGGCACAUCUUUCUUUAUAGGGUGGUCUUAUAUCACAAACAUCGGAUCACCGUUUUUUAAAGUUUGUUGUGUUCUAGUAGUCUCACCAUUUUUUAAAGUUUGUUGUGUUCUAGUAGUCUGAUAUUAGUUAAAUAACGUUCCGAUGAUCAAAAGCUUGGACCAUUAAAAUAGGAAAAGAUAUAAGAAAGGGAAAUGCGAUAUUUGAAUCAUCACACUGCCCCAUAAAUAGAGAGGCCCACUAUUCACCAUAUGUCCUCCUCAACGGACGGUAGGGAUGAGUCAAAACUAUAGUUCACCCCAACCGUGUAUUGGUGAGAUAAGAUAGUGGUGGUGUACCCGAUCUUCCACAAGGAGACUUUCCCUAGUUUUGGAUGAAGAAUUCAACUUUAAACCAUCAAAGUAAUUUGAAACCCCUGCGAAAGUCUAAAAACCUAAUUUGACCUGUAGAAAUAGGUUCAAAAUUUGUGGAGAUCAGGCAAUUUAUGAACACUAUGAAAAAAAAAAUUAUAGAAAAUGGACGGCUCAAGUAAUAUGUUAUAAGAUGAACUAUUUCCGGGACUUGAAUUUUUUUUUGGUGUUUUUUUUUCAUAUUAAAACGUGUAGAGGCCAAAGAUACCAAUUGGAUGGUCUUUUGGGGUAGGAACAUCCUUUUCCGAUGGAUUUUUGUAGUGCAUCAUGCUCAUGGGUUAAAAGUUUGUGGGUUUGAACAUUUAAAGUUUAGGUUAUCUUGCAUUAUUUUUAAUACAUUUCACAUUUUACAAUCACUAGUAUAUUUUAAUUCUAUCUCUUUUUUAAUAUAUCAUAUUAAGCUCAAAUUUGAUAAUAUAAUUCUCACUAUUAGACACCUAUAAAAAUAAUUUAAAAUAGAUCAAAUGACCGAACUGUCUAUGAAUAAUAGACGCCCAAUAUUUGAAUGGCAAGUAGCCGCAAGAGUUAAGAGGGAUGGAGCCACCAAACAAUGUGAUUUGCUUCGAGUGUUAAAAAAAUAAAAAAAAUAAAAACUCAAAAAUCAAAGUCUUCUCUUUUUGUGAAAAUAAUAAUAAGUUUCAUAUCAAGAAAAUUAUCUUGAGUAGCGCUUUUGCUUGAGGGAGUUAGCGCACAUUACAGUCUCGCGAGAACACGCAAUUUGUGCUAAUCUAAUUUAUUCAUGUUCACUCUGAUCUUAUCUCAUAUCCCAAGAAAAAUCAUAUGCUCUUCGGAUUCAUUUCCCCGUGUGCCCUACAUCGAUAUCGAGGGUUUGUACUUUUUAUUUUAUUUUCAUACAUUUGUACCUUAAGUUUGGUAUUUGGCCUCGAUCGUAUGCCAUCACAAUUUAAUAUUAUUACUAGAAAAAUUAUGUGUCGAAAGUAAGCAUCAACAAGUGGAAAAUAAAAAAUAAAAGCACAAAUUAUGCUAUAUUAUUACUAGAAAAAUAUUGUGGAUUGAAAGGAAAAAUCAUCGGCCAUGCAUGUACUUAUAAAGAUUAAAACCAGUGUUUUACAACCCCACGAUUUUCGAUCAGAAUCGUUAUAUGGAUGAGAAUUGGUGAAGAUGAACUGGUCAUGGGAUGUAUGGGCCAUGGAUAAACCCCCUAAUAUAUAUAUAUAUAUAUAUUAAGCUUAAUUAUUAUUUUCUUAUAUCCUCACCCUAUAAAACUUUAUUGUAAUUUUUAUUUUAUUUUAUUCAUUUUUAACAUUAUUUUGAAUCAUUGUUUCGGAACGAUCUGGACUCAACCUGAUCGCCGACCCCUAUGUAGGUGAAUGAUCCACCCCAGCAAUCCAGGUUUUGGUUAACCAUGGUGCUUUCUUAUUUGCUAUAGGGGAAAGUAUUUGGUCAGUCGGGACCAUUGAAAUCCCAUCUUUAAGUUGGACGGCCGAAAAUGAAGAUCCAACCAAAUUUAAAAUUAAAUGGUGUUAACAAAAUUAAAUAAAGUGUCACUUCUAAAAUUUUAAAGUUUAUUUAUUUUGAGAAAUUUAAUGAGACAACUAUGAAAGAUGUACCAUGUGACACUAUUUAUCUUUGAUAUAAGGAGUUCACAAUUAGUACUAGCUAUUUGAAACCUGAUGGAACGAGGUGUUACACAAAGUUCAAGAAAUCUUUUUUUUUAGCUUUGAGACCUAUCAAUCAUACACUCACAACCCCACUCGAUUUGAAAUCUAACAGACAAGAUUGACUGUGAGUUCAUUGUAUUAAAAAUAAAUAGUCUCUUUGUAAACUUUUUCUUUACACAUAUAUGAUUAUUUCAAAUCAUGAUAAUGUACAAUUUAGUGGGUAUUUUGACAUUAAAUCACAUAAUAUAUGUAAAAUGUUAAACUGUUGAUAUGUCACAGUUAUUUUGAACCCCCACCAACAAAAGAAAAACAGAAAAGAAUAAAGGCAUUUUAACCCAUGCUUUCAAAAUGUGUUGCCGAACAUGUAUAUGUUCAGCAUAAAAAUGUAUCGGACUGGCUUGUGCCAAUCCAUCACGAAAAUAUAUCGGAUUUACACAAGUUGAAUAUAGAGCCAGUCUAGCACAAAAAAUAUGUUGGGCAUCUCUGUGUUUAAGUUGUGCCGAUCUGAUAUAUUUUGUGUCAAACAGAGUAAAGAGAGAGUGAAAACAUGGCCAAAUAGGGGCUUUUUGGUUAAAUAAAAAAAAACAAAUAUCACGGAUUCCAAAGAUUUGAUAUAUGAAAUCCAUUUUUUUGAUGCGUGCAGAUGAAUAGGUCUGUCUUCAUGAUUUGACUGUACAAAGGCUGGUGCAUAAAAACACAAAUAGAAAGGCCCGUGACCAAUAAAAUUAAUUUGAAGUUCAAUAAAAAAAAUAGAAAGGCCCACCACCAAUAACAAAAAUUUGAACAUGAAAAAAAAGAUAGAAAGGCCCAAUGAUCAAUAACGUUAGUUAAAGUAUUUCGACGGCCUCCGGCCUGUAAAUAGGAGCACCAAUGAUCAAUAACAAUAAUUGUAAAUAGGAGCACCAAUGAUCAAUAACAAUAAUUGUAAAUAGGAGCACUAAUGAUCAAUAACAAUAAUUGAAGUAGUUCAAACCUAUAAAUAGGAGCAUCAAGAUUCCAUGACUUUCACAUCUGAAUCAGCAAUGGAAGUUCCUACUCUCACCACCGUCUUCUUCUUUGUAAUGCUGGUGCGCCUCACUCUCUCUCUAUAGCUUGCUCCUUCUUAACGUUUUUAGCGAGGUGUAAUCUCUUAGCUUUUCUAUCACUUUUGUGCUAUGCUACUACAAAUAUUUCAGCUGGAGGUUGGACACUUUAGGCCUAUUUUUUAAGCCCAUGAGGCUUUAAUGCCUUCAUUUAAUUGAAAAUUUUGAAUCCUUAGUUACCUUUUGGAAUAUCUUUUCUGUAUCUUGAUAAUUCCUAUAAUCCUUGAUGCUUCCUUUUUUUUCAUUCGUUCUAUUUUGUACUUUCCUUUUUACUUUGAGAUUUUUAUGUACGGACUGGGUAAAAUUACCAAAUUUUACUCUUCAAUUUAUAAAUUCGGUAAUUUUACCAUGAGGUCAUAUUCCCCGAUUGUUAUUAUAUUUUCAAAUUUUACCACGGUUCAAACUUUCAAACAUCAAAUUGCUUUUUUUUCUUCUUUUUUUUGACAUUUGUAGGGGGUCCGUGUAUAUUAUAUGGAACUACCCUAUUUGUAGGGUAGUCCGAUGACUGCAAUAUUGGACCACCCUAUAUUUUUGGCCCAUGCUUUUUUAUAGGGCUCUCAUAUCACAAACAUGAGACCACCAUUUUUUAUAGUUUGUUAUGUUCUAGUAGUCCGAGCUUAUGACACAAAGGUAGUAAAAAAAUGUCCGAUGUUCAAAAGCUUGGACCACUAAAAUGAAAAGAUAUGAAAAAGGGAAGUCCGAUAUUUGAAAUAUCGGACUAUCCCAUCGACAACGUUAGGUCAAAAACAUAGGGUGGUCCAAUAUUGCACCUAUCAGACUGGCUUUCGAAUGGGGCAGUUCUAAAUAUUUAAUAUCGGACCGACCUACAAAUGUCAAAAAUAAAAAUAAAAAAAAAUAAAAAAAAAUAAAAAUGAAAAAAUGAUCAGUUGGGGGAAAAAUAGAAAAACAAUAAUAAAAAUGGAAGGGAGUAGGACUUCGUCAUAAAAUUACAGAACUUAAUGACUAAAGAGUAAAUUUGGUAAUUUUACGAAGUAUGUUAAAAUCCAUUCUACUUUUGCUGACACACUUACUUUUUGCGCUCAUAUUGGUGCAGCUUAUUUGCGGUGAUGCAAGGGUUUUGGAAGAGCAAAACCAAGAAACCCCAUCUACAAACGACUUUGAUCCUGAAAAUGUCCUCUAUUAUCAUAAUUAUGCCAAACAAGAAACCGCAUCUAUAAAGGACUUUGAUCCUGAAAAUGUCCUCCUUUACCAUCAGUAUGCCAAACAAGAAACCGCAUCUACUAAGGACUUUGAUCCUGAAAAUGUCCUCCUUUACCAUAAUUAUGCAAAACAAGAAACCGCAUCUACUAAGGACUUUGAUCCUGAAAAUGUCCUCCUUUACCAUAAUUAUGCAAAACAAGAAACCGCAUCUAUAAAGGGCUUUGAUCCUGAAAAUAUCCUCCAUUACCAUCAGUAUGCCAAACAAAAGACUCCAUCUACAGAGGGCUUUGAUCCUAAAAAUGUUAUCUGGUACCAGAAUUAUGCAAAAAAAGAUGAAGAUAGCAACACUAUAUCUCACCAUCCCUUAAGCUCAUCUCAAACAGCAUCCACAAAGGAUUUUGAACCUGAAAGCAGUGUCAAAGAAAUGGACUCACAUUCUCAUAUAACCAGCCAUGAUCGUGCUCCAGGACCCGAAAAUGUUUUCUUCCACAUGAAGGAUCUCAAGGUUGGAAACAAACUUGACCUCUACAAUAUGGUUGAUAAAACCUUGGCAGCCACCUCCCCUCUACCACGCCAAGAAGCCGACUCCAUUCCCUUUGCAUCUGCUUCACUCCCUGAUAUCUUGCGUCGCUUCUCGAUCCCUCCGGACUCACCCCUAGCUAAGAAAGUAGCAAGGAACCUUCACAUAUGUGAGUCUCCCCCAUUAAUGGGCGAACGCAAGUUUUGUGCCACAAGCCUCGAGUCCCUGCAUGACUUUGUCUUAUCGAUCUUGGGGCCUAAAGCUAAACCCCAAGUGUUGGCAACUACCUUGCACAACGGAGAGAAUCGUCCUCCCCUUGUGCAAUCUUACAUUGUGAAAGAGAUUAUGCUUCGAUUAACACCACCAUAUCUGCCAGUUUGUCAUCCAAUGACUUACCCGUAUACUGUGUUUCAUUGCCAUGUCGUGGUUAAAACCACGGCCUUGAUGGUGAAGCUAGAAGGUGAGGAUGGAAGCAAAAUGGAUGCCGCAGCAGUUUGUCACUUGGACACUUCUGACUGGGACCCCGACCAUGUUUCUUUCAAGGUGCUUGGCAUCAAGCCAGGCACUGAACCUGUUUGCCAUUUCUUUCCAGAGACUCACUUGGCUUUCAUUACGACUUCUCUCGAGGCAGCCGUGUGAUCAUGA
RNAcentral lists this long non-coding RNA (65025 nucleotides) under Amborella trichopoda. Its description in RNAcentral is "long non-coding RNA (ATRI_LNC004944)". The record is from RNAcentral. Lineage: Eukaryota; Viridiplantae; Streptophyta; Magnoliopsida; Amborellales; Amborellaceae.